GUUUUUUUUAGGUGUUACCAUUAUUAUCGUGAAAGUAGUAUGUGACUAUACUAGGAAGAUUGUCAUCGCUUUCUUCAAAAGCAUUGCUUAGUCUGUCUAGUUUAUCCUGUUUAUCUUCAUGUGACUUUAGUUUAGUGCUCCUGCGGUAGAUUUACUUUCAUUGUAUUAUAUUGAAAGAAUUGAAGUUUUGAAAGAAAUUUUAAAUCACCCACUCACCAUCCCCCCCUUCUGGUCGAUAUACUCUCGAUCCUACAAGGGUGAAAACCUAGAUUCUGAUUGGAUCGAGUGACAGUGGUGCUUGAGCAAAGUUGUGAGAAUGCAACUCGAGUCUUAGUAUAUUACAAACUUACGAUCCAAAAUAGCCCCUCCAAUUCUAUGAUUUUGCUCAUAGAAUCUAAGUUUCUACGAACCUGGUAAUUAUGAUUCUAUGAUUCAUGAUCCUACCAAUGGAGCUUCGAUCGGAUUCAGAAUCUCGAUCCCGACAACUUUGUGCUUGAGUGUUGCUCCCUUUUUGAAGGUUUUGUUGUUGAAGAACCUCGUUCUCCAUGUGGUGUCAUGAGAUGGUUGGUGCGGAUACAACCAUUGAUGUAGUUUAUUGACCACGAAUCUGAUCGCUUCGCGUGUUUUUUUUUGUUUUUUUCUCGCUUACACAUAGUUUUGGUAUUGUAUGACUUUUCUAUUUGCUGGCAUGUUUUGUGUGCGUGUGUUGUUAUGUGCAUCUUCGCUAUACAGAGGCCAGGUGUGUGCAUUAUGUUUUGUAUCUUCUUGGUACUCCAUUUUGUGUCCAUAAAAUCCAUGCAUUAUCGAAAAAGUACAUUGAUGUAGUGGAGUGUAAGGCACCAUUGUUAUACUCGAAAGUACUAGUAAAGGUUUAGCAAGGACUCCCCUACCUAGAACCGCAUCAAUUCAUUCAUUUUAACUGCUAUGUUUUGGCUCUUGUUGUUAAUUAUGUCCUUGUAUAAUUAGUUCUACUACCGUUGAUGCCCAUGUACUUGCAAUGGACAUGUCAUGCAUAAUAAUUUGAUUUGAUGACAUUGAUGUGUACCUACUUGCAAUGUGCAUGUCCUGUAUAUUUAUUUGAUUUGCUUACAUUGAUAUCAACAUGCUUGCAAUGGACCAUGUUCUUAAGAAAAUUUAUGUCCUAAAGUCGCUAGGAAGCCAUUAUUGAAUGUUAUUCUUCCUCCACCUGUUACUACUUUGCGUUUGUGCCAUGGAUUUGGCCCUUCUAGACACUUAGAGUACUACUUUUGUAUGUGGUUAAUUUGUUAUGCAUGUACUGCUCCCGAACAAACUUUUAGAUGCUAAAAUGCUUUCUGGAACAUAGUAUUUGGCAUUUUUUUACAAAAUACUAUUUCAAAUAUAGCAUGCUAUAAUUUAUAUAGCAUCUGGAGAAGGCGGAAAUUGCUUUUGGCUCCAGAGCUCCACGGAUGCCUUUAAAUUUAAAAUUCAAAUUUCAUGAAAAUUCGUAUUUUAUAUUUUAAAAAAUUCUGAAAAAAUACAGGGAUAAGUGAAGGCGUAACACACAUGUAUGUAAAUUUUCAGAAAAAAAUACAAUGAAAUGAAGGCUGUGCAAAAAAGACAAAUCUGAGGCUUUUUUACACAUGACAUUAUUCAUCGUUUCAGGUCAUGAAUUUGUCUUUUUUGUGCAGAUCGCAUUUCAAGGUAUUUUAUCCUAAAUUUUUACACACAUACACAUAACAUCCUUUUUUUACUUGCAUAUUAGUUUUCAGAUUUUUUUGAAACCGAAAAGUUUGAAUUUUGAAUUAUUCAACAAUUUCGGCCUCCAUGGAGGCCGAGCUCCAAACGUCCGCUCUCCUGAAGAAGGGUGACACUAAAUUUAAUAGCAUGCUACUUUUUUUGUUGGUGCUACCCUAACUCUACCACGUAUAUCAUCAUUCAGACCUAACGAGAGAUGCAAGGCAUGGAUGUGUGUCCUCACGAGCACAUUCACGAGCACAUUCCUGUAUAGUAAUUUGAUUUAUUUAUAUUGAUGUGUAAGCUGGUUUUUUUUUUCUUGUUGGUGCUACAUUGAUGUCAACCUCUCAUGUAUAACAAUUUGAUUUCCUUACAUUGGUGUGUAAGCAACCCUAACUCCACCAUGUAUAUCAUCAUUCAGACCCAACGAAGGAAUGCAAGGCCAGGAUGCGCAUCUUCGCGAGCGCAUCCAGGACAACACUUCCAUUGAUGUCAGCAUGUCCUGUGUAAUAAUUCGAUUUGCUUAUUGAUGUACACCUACUUGCAUUGAUGUCAACAUGUCUUCUAUAAUAAUUUGAUUUGCUUACAUGGAUGUGUAAGCAGGCAUGUCUUGCUAUUUUUUCUGUUGAUACUAUCCUAACUCCACCUUAUAUAUCAUCAUUCGGACCGAUCCUUUCUUGUAUGAUCACAUAUUCAUCUUAACAUGCGAAUCUUUGUUAUACUCCCUCCGUCCCAAAAUAAGUGUUGUUGAUCUAGUAUAAAAUUUAUACUAAUUUAAUAUAAAGUUUGCGACAUUUAUUUUGGGGCGGAUGGAGUACUUAACUGUUGAAUAUGUUGCAUUUUAGUUGGUCAACACUCAAUGUCAUACAACAUUAUUUCAGUCGGUCAACACUUAACAUCAUACAACAUUGCAGGUCGAAUCGUGAUGUUACAAAACAUGUUGUUUAGGUUUUGUGCCACUAUCUUCCCAUAAAGAAUGCCAGAAGCUUGGCACCACUUUAUCCAUCCGCCUUUGAUUCGAUGACUCAUGUCUUCAUCGAUAUCACCAACAUUCUGCAACGUUGACCCAAAAAAUAAAAAGGUGUCCUUGUAAGGUAUUACCUAUCUAUCAAGACUAACAUCCUCCUCCUUAUGGCUAGUUGUACUGAAAGUUUGAUACCACACCUACUCAGUUUUAGUUCUACACUUCUUGGCCAUCGUGAGCAUAGGCACCGCUGGAGUUGCAGCGACUGCUCUCUUCUCAUACUGCUACCUGAUGCUUGUACUUCCAGCUAGUGCCGCGGCGGCCAGCGGUGGCGGCAGUGGACCGCGGUGCAAAAUCAUCUUCAACUUCGGGGACUCAGCUUCUGACACGGGCAACACAUGCACUGGUGGCCUGCCAGGGCCUGCCGGUGUGGUGGGAAUUUUCACCCGCCUCCCCUACGGUGUCACCUAUUUCGGGAAGCCCACUUGCCGGUGCAGCGAUGGCCGGGUCUACAUCGACUUCCUGGGUAAAUAUGCAGUGUCCUAAAAUUUCAAAUCUGACUGGGCUUCGAAAACCUGAAAUUGCCCAAUUUUACGUGGGCAUUCCCUGAACUUCUUGUGAAAAUGUCAUAACACUGACAUACUUUAAGUGACUGUAGUGCAAGCAUUAGGGCUGCCGUUUCUCCCGCCAUCCAAGGCGCUCCGCAGGGACUUCCAGCAAGGCGCAAACAUGGCCAUCAUCGGCGGCGCCGUACUUGACUACACCAACGCCAGCCUCAAGUUCACUGCCUACGACGGCUCCAUGAACACCCAAAUCGACAAUGUCCAGCAAUUGUUGCCUUCAAUCUCUGGAAUACGUAAGAGUAAUAAUUAAGCACUGGGCUGGUUCUAAUAUUAGAUCAUUUGAUCGACUGAUUAUGCAUGCGAGAAUAUUUGAAGUUUACUAAUCUUAUAUAUGUGACUGUAUACAGAUUGCAAGGAGUAUUUGGCCAAGUCCCUGUUUGUGUUUCAGUUGGGGGAGAACGACUACAGCAUUCAGCUGGUGAAUGGAUCCACGGUAGAUGAGGCCAGCAAGGCAGCAAGAACGUACCCAGAAUAGUGAACACCAUCAUAUCCGGCGUACAGGUAACUGNNNNNNNNNNNNNNNNNNNNNNNNNNNNNNNNNNNNNNNNNNNNNNNNNNNNNNNNNNNNNNNNNNNNNNNNNNNNNNNNNNNNNNNNNNNNNNNNNNNNCUCCCCCUCCCUCCUCCUCCUCCCGGCCGCCCCUCCCUCCUCCCUCCUCCCUCCCUCCCGAUAGCCCUCCUCCUCCUCUCGGCCGCCCCUCCUCCUCUUCCUCCCCUCGCUGAUGCGGUGAUGGGUGUGGUGGUGGAUGGAGGAGUAGAGGGUCUGAAAUCGGUCCUAGAGCAGUUCAACUCGACGUCAGACGAACAUUCCAUGUCGUCUGAUCCAAGCAGCACGUGCACGGCCGCUUCCUCUCCUUCCACGUCGCCGCGGCUCACCGCCGGCGUCGUCAACUUCUUGGCACGGCGUGCCAUGACCACACACCACCGACCAACAACAGCACCACCAUUUCCCCUCCACUUGCCGGGCUCCUCCACCGGCUCCGGCCACGCCGCCCCCGCUGCCGUCCGACACCAGCGACACCGACGAGAAGCUCCUGCUCAACGUGCUCUCCCGGCACCAGGGCGCCUCCGCGCACGAGGCGGCGGCGGUGGCGCUGCCGCUGAAGCAGGGGGCCGCCAACCCGCUGUGAACUUUCGGGCCUGCCACACUUGCGCAGUUGCGCUAGAGGAGAGGGUCCCUUUUACAGUCAAAACAAUCCCACCUUGCUCCUUUACAUGUAAUCUCACCGGUUUAUAUACAUAUGGCCCAGAGAAUCAAUAAGCGACUUGGAAUUAGGAAGGGAAAGAAGGAAGGGAAAAACGAAUCGGCAAACGAUCCAUGAAGAAAUUAAAUCAGCAAGAGCGCGGGAGACUGAGGGCGCACGCGUACCUCCCGAUUAUAUGUGAAGCGCAAUGUGAUCGAAAAGUAAGGAAGGAAAGAGAAUCAAGAUUCUUGAUAUGUAUGCACGAUUAAAGGAGGAACAUUUCCUUGGGACCAUAAAUUAAAACCGUAUUAUGAGGAUGAUGUAUUGAAUGUAUACAUCAAUAAAAAUCAUUGAUCCAUUUUGUUCGCCCAUCUAUUUCUUUUUUACUUGGGGGUCAAAAAUUGGAUAUCUAUAGUUCUUGGCUUUCUUGCAUGACUUUUCUUAAUUAAUUAUUGAUUUGUAAAAUUAAUGACAGAUUGGUGCAAUUUUACUAAAUUCGAAUUGUUUUAUUUUGGGUUGUAAAUUUUGAACUUUUGUAAAUUAAGAGCGUGGGAAAUUUAUUUUUCCCGUUGCAACGCACGGGCCCUUUUGCUAGUAUAAAUAUGUGUGUGUGUGUGUGGGGGUGGCAUGGAUUUGCUAUCAACACUAGCUGGGGUGGUUACUAUCUGAACCGUUUGUUUGCACCGAGAUUCGCACUUUCUUGUAGAUAAGGUUCUCUCUCACAUGCACAAAUCUUUUAAAUGUUUGAUUGAAUUUAAGUAAAUAUUUCAGCACUUCUGCGAGAAUGCAAAACAAAAUCACCGAAAUUUAUAUAAUUUCAGUGAUUUUGGUUGGUACUGAAAUUUUUCUAAAACUAAAAGCGAAAACUAGCACUCAAUAGUGCAGAGUUGUACCGAACACUGAAAAUUCAAGUAUCAAAAAUCGUAGAGCGAGUAGGGUAUAGUUUUGAAGUGCUUUCACUCCAUCCUUCACAUGGCCUCAUGUUGCUAUCUAUUUCAUUGACUCCCACGCCCGACUAGCUCGCGCUUACAGCUCUCACACUGUCGUGGUUUUGUCACGACAGAUGUCCUCGUGAAAAGACUUGGUGAUGAGGCCAUCGCAACUAUAUGACUACUCAAAGGGGUUAAUCGGGAACGAGAGACGAGUUUACAUAGGUACAACCCCUCCGGUGGAGGUUAAAUCCUACAUCCUGCUUUGUGUGUAUAUUGAUGACGAAAUCGAUUACAAGGGUGCAGAUUCGCCUGAACUAGCUCUCGAUAGAUUGUAACUUAACCCUAUAAACCUGUGGGGCUUGCCUUUAUAUACAUGUCAAUGCUCUAGGUUUUACAAGAGACCAGGUUGUGCUAUGAUUUGUACCCCGGAAUAUCUCUAACUCGCCCUGUCUUCCAAGCAGGGUUAUCUUCUGCCUAUCGUCUACCUCAUGAGCCUUGAACCGCCACCUUCGUAGUAGACAGCCGCCAGGUGACUUACUGGGACAGGCCGCCUUACACCUUUGAUCUUGUAUGCCGAGGCCCAUCUUGAGUGCAAUCUCAAGCCGCCAUAAUUAUGACCCGACCCCACAGGAUAGGUUAUACAGCGAGGUAAUAUACCCAACAUUAGGCCCCAGAUUGACUUGAAUUUAUUCAUGUCAAUAUCCUUUACCUUAAUCUUGGUGGCUUGUGUGUACUUCAUGUCUUGUCUUCCCUCGGGUAGAGAUGUCGGCGUCAUAAAACUUCAAAGAUCUUUAUGAGUCCUUGCUCUGUUCACCAAUGACGUCACCCGCCCCAGAAUUUUAGGGAAUCAAUGAUUUCAUCGUAAUGGCUCUUUGUACUUAUCCGUUUAACCCAAAAAUAUGGGCGCCCUUGGUUCCGAAGUUUACUGCGCCUCCUUGAUUCCCGCGCCUGCCAUAUACUCCUGGCCUUUAAAUACUCGCGAGGGCCCCUUUCAUUUUUAACUCGCUCUCCCACUUCUUCUUCUUGCUCGAGCUCGAACUUUUCACCGCGCCGCCGCCGCCGUUCUUCCAUCGCCAGCCUUCCACAUCCAGGACCGCCACAUUGCGCGACUUCACCUCAACACAUCAGAUUUUCUCCGCCACCAUCAACAUCAUCAGGUAAGUCCCUUUCUUCUAUUCAGAUCUGUCUGUUAAUCCAUCACAGAUCAUGGAGUUUGUCAGAGUUCUUCGUGUGUUCAUCACCAUUGCCGACCUGCUUGAUUCUUUGAUGAACCUCUUCCAUCAACAGAUUGCGGUAGAUAUAGCAACCCUGUUUCAUGUACGAUGCUCCCUAGAUGCGUUUCCAUACCUCAUCGUUUUUAGGGUUAAUGAAUACUUUCCUUUCUGAACCAUUUGUAGAUCCGUUUUUAGACACUUCGGUAGAAACAUGUUUGUCCCACACUUAGUAGAAAACCAGAAAUCCUUAUCCAUUUGUAAGCCGCCUCUUACUUUAUGCCAGCUUCCUUGAUAUGAUAGUAACCCGCCUGCUUCUAUAAGUCGCCCCGCCUUUAGAUGGCGACUCACAUUAAGGCGGUUUGAAUAUUGCAGAUUGCUCUGUCACUGUAAUCUAGUUCCUUCUUGAACACCUCGCACAUUAAAUAAUCUGUUUGUCAUUUGAAUAACCCGCCAAGUAUAUUUCCGCAGCUCCUUUCUCCUGAAUCCACCACCAAGUCAAAACCUGUUUGAUGCAACUGGCAGGCUUCUGAAACCUCUGAGGCCGUACUCCAGCACUACGUAACUUUAGGGGCCUUGUCAUCAAAAGAGGAGAUUGGUUGGCGAGCCGCCAUUGGGGAGGAACGCCCACAACCAGGUGAAGGAGAAGUAAUAGUUUUCAGCGAUCACCUUGAGCGAGGUUUUACUCCUCCCGGGUCAAAAUUCUUUGGAGAUGCUCUACACUUUUACAAUCUUCACCCUCAAGACGUGGGUCCUAACUCCAUAAGCAACUUGUGCCAAUUCCAAGUUUUUUGUGAGGUGUACAUGGGAAUGGAACCCACAGUCCUUUUAUUCAGGGAAUUCUUUUACCUCAACCGUCAAAUAGAAUUUGCUGACGGACCGUGCUUGGAACUUGGCGGGGUGAUGCUAGCAGUCCCCCGCAACAGCACUAGAGAAAUGUUGUUGACGUGUUCCUGACUUGAUGCCUCCACGGCAACGGAGCCCGAACUGCUCCCAGUUUCUCAACAAUUAGCAAUUGUUUUGCAAUGGCCAACAGCGCGUGGGUUCGCGGCAGUUUUCGAGGGUAGAGUAUUCAACCCAAAUUUGUUGGUUCGCCCGACCGGAAGUGAAAGGAUACUCUCAAGUAUUAGCAGCUGAAUGUGUCAGAUUCAACCACACCUGAAAGAUUAGUAUCUGCAAGCAAAGUAUCAGCAGCAAAGUAGUAUGAUAACAACGGUGCCAGAAACAAUCUGUUGACGGCAGACUAUUCCUAACGGUUGUAUCAAUGGCGCCAGAAGUUGCCCGCGUAUGGGAAAUAUUCUUUCCAGGCGAUGGGGCGAGAAAAGUAUUGUAGCAGGUAGUAGCAGGGUAACGAGUAUCAGCAGUGGCAAGGAACAACAGUAGUGACAACAGUAGCAAGUAGCAACAGUAGCAAGUAACAGAGUAGCAAGUAGCAGCAGAGCAAAGCAAGUAACAGCAGCAACAACAGUAGUAACAGCAGCAGAGCAAAACAAGUAACAUCACUAGUGGGACAAACUUGUAGGCAAUGGGUCGGUGAUUCGUUUGGAUGACAUUCAUCAUGCAACAGUUAUAACACGGAGAGAUAUGUGGCUAGCUCCCGUUCGUCAAUGUGAUGUAGGCAUGCAUUCCGUGUGUCGUCAUACGUGCUUAGGGAAAAGAACUUGCAUGACAUCUAUUGUCCAUCCCUCCCGUGGCAUCGGGGUCCAAAAGGAUACUACGGGAUAUUAAGGUUCUCCUUUUAAUAAAGAACCGGAACAACGCAUUAGCACUUGGUGAACACAUGAACUCCUCAAACUAUGGUCAUCACCGGGAGUGGUUCCGGUUAUUGUCACUCCGGGGUUGCUGGGUCAUAACACAUAGUAGGUAACUACAACUUGCAAGAUCGGAUCUAAAACACACAUAUAUUGGUGACAACAUAAUAAUUUCAGAUCUGAAAUCAUGGCACUCGGGCCCUAGUGACAAGCAUUAAUCAUGGCAAAGUAGUAGCAACAUCAAUCUUAGAACAUAGUGGAUACUAGGGAUCAAUCCCCGUCAAAACUAACUCGAUUACAUGAUAGAUCUCAUCCUACUCAUCACCGCCCAGCGAGCCUACGAAUAGAUUACUCACGAACGAUGAAGAGCUUCAUGGAAUUGGAGAGGGAAGAAGGUUGAUGAUGAUGGUGGCGACGAUUUCCCCUCUCCGGAGCCCAAAACGGACUCCAGGUCUGUCCUCUAGAUGAAGAACAGGAUGUGGCGGCGCCUCCGUAUCGCAAACGCGAUGAAAUCUUCUCUUCUGAUUUUUUUGGGACGAAAGUGAAUUUAUAGAGCUGGAGUGGGGGGGGGGGGGGCGGAAGACCCAUGUGGGCCCCACAAGCUUGGUUGCCGCGGCCAGGGGGUGGGGUGGGGGGGGGGGGGCGGCAACAGGGCUUGUGGCCCACUGGACCAUCCCCUCCGGUGGAUCUUUGCGCAGGUAUUUUUCAUAUUUUCCAGAAAUAUUCUCCGUAAAUUUUCAGGACGUUCCGAGAACUUUCAUUUUUGCACAAAAACAACACCAUGGCAAUUCUGCUGAAAACAGCGUCAGUCCGGGUUAUUUCCAUUCAAAUGAUGCAAAUUAGAGUCCAAAACAAGGGCAAAAGAGUUUGGAAAGUAGAUACGAUGGAGACGUAUCAAUUCCCCCAAGCUUAAAACCUUGCUUGUCCUCAAGCAACCUAGUUGACAUACUGAAAGAGAAAGAAAAACUUUGACAUACUCUGUUUGAUCUUGUUGUUGCAACUAUGUCUAACUCAUAAUCAGAAUUUCAGCAAGAUCACAAGUUAACCACAUAAGCAAUUGACACAAAGGUCUCACGGUAAACUAAUAUCAAUGGCAUAAUCAGCUAGCGAGCAAAUAAUAAUGAGUUUCAGAUACCAACAAUUCAAUCAAAACAAGCAUGAAGCAAUAUGAAUAGGUGGUAUCUCGCUAGCUCAAUCUGAGACCGCAAAACAUAAAUGUAGAGCACUUUCAAAGAUCAAGGGCUGACUAAACAUUGUAAUUCAUAGCAACGAAGAUCCAGUCAUAGUCAUUCUCAAUAUCAAUCAAAAGCAAAGCAUAAAAAUGACAGAGGUGAUCUCUAAUUGGUGCUUAUAUAAGAAGAGGAUGACUCAACAGGAAAAUAAAUAGGCAGGCCCUUCGUAGAGGGAAGCAUUGAUUUGCAGAGGUGCCAGAGCUCAAGCUUUGAAAAUAGAGAUAAUAAUUUUGGGUGGCAUGCUUUCAUUGUCAACGCAAUGACCAAGAGUUCUCAAUAUCUUCCAUGCUAUUCAUGCUAUAGGCGGUUCCCAAACAGAAAAGUAAAGUUUUAACUCCCCCACCACCAAUCAAUCACACUCCACGACUAGCCGAAUCCUCGGGUACCGUCCAUACUAACAUCAAUCCGGGGGGAGUCUUGUUUUACAAUUAUGUUUUUGAUUUAAGCAUGGAACUGGGCAUUCCAAUUACCGGCCCCUUUCUCGUGAAUGACAGUGAAUAAACACAUGUCGAGGAUAACACGCCUAACAUGGAAGAUACCAAUAGCCCCCUGUCACCAAAUGAGCGGUUCGGGCAUGCAAAACAGAUUAUUUCUUGAAGGUUUAGAGAAUGGCACAUGCAAAUUUACUUGGAACGGCAGGUAAAUACCGCAAAUAGGUAGGUAUAGUGGACUCUCAUGGAAAAACUUUUGGGUUUAUGGAAGUGGAUGCACAAGCAGUAUUCCGCUUAGUACAAGUGAAGGCUAGCAAAAGACUGGGAAGCGACCAACUGGAGAGCGACAACAGUCAUCAAGAUGCAAUGAGUUUGACUAACAUGGAGUGCAAGCAUGAACAGGAUAUAAAUCACCAUGAACACGAACAUCAUAGAGGCUAUGUUGAUUUUGUUUCAACUACAUGCAUGAACAUGCGCCAAGUCAAGCCACUUGAAUCAUUCAAAGAAGAAUACCAUCCUAUCAUACUACAUCAUAGUCAUCUCAAAAUCUAUGUUGGCAUUCAAGACAAACCAUUAUAAGCUCUUAGCUAAAUAAGCAUGGCAUCAGAAACUAUGAUCUCUAAGUUGUCAUUGCAAACAUGGGUUUCUCACAACAAAGCUGAAUCUGGGAUGACAAGCUAGUCAUAUUUACAAAAAAAAUAGAUAGAGUUCAUACCAGCUUUUCCAGUCUCAGUCACUUCAUCAUAUAUCAUCAUUAUUGCCUUUCACUUGCACGAUCGAACGAUGUGAACAAUAAUAAAAGUGCUCGUGCAUUGGACUAAGCUGAAUCUGCAUGCAGACACAAAGGAGAAGCCAAAGUAAUAUGGGUCUUUGAAAGCUAAACAGGUAUGCAUGCAAGAGCCACUAAACAUUGUAACCAAUAUCUUCUACCUUGACCCAAAGAAAAAGAAAACUAUUUACACGGGAAAGCUCCCAACAAGCAAAAAGAAGAAAGGAAAAUCUUUUUGGGUUUUCUCAAAAGGACACAAAACAAGAAAACAGGAAAACGAAAAUAAACUAGCAUGGAUAAUACAGUGGCAAAGUGUAAACACCGACUAACAAAGUGAAAGCAUAAGCAUGAAUGUAAGGUCGGUGAGAACACGUACUCCCCCAAGCUUAGGCUUUUGGCCUAGCUUGGUCUACUCCCAAGGACGGUCCUGGCGAAACCCAAAAUCAUAAUCGGGGUUAUACGGGAGCGCUGCAGCCACCGCCUGAAUAGCUGCCUCACGGAGACGAGCAACCGUCGCCUCCCUCUCAUACUCCUCUGCCUCUCCUAUGGUUAUGUAGUAUCUCCGUUUUACCUGAAAGUCAAAGAAAGCAGGAGCAGGAAGGGUAAUAUGGAAAACACGCUGCCGGUUAAAUAUCAAUCGGCAUAGGAGGGAUUCAUCAUCCCUCUCAAGGAACUGGUAGCGUGUCAUAGCGACGCGGUCAAGGAAAGCUGUAUGGAGCGGGGGAUCUCCUGCGCGGAUGGGUACUCCAAGAAAAUUUGCUAUGCGAGUGCCAUAGAUGCCGCCAAAGAAAUCUCCCUCAAUAGCAUUCUUAUUCAGCCUCCUUGCUAUAAUAGCUCCCAUGUUGAAGCUUUUGUCACCCGUAAAUGCGCUCUUAAGGAUACUAAGGUCGGAUGCGCAUAGGUAACAAUGUUCAACCUUAUCGUUAAUGCAUCUACCUAUGAAGAGGGCAAAGUAGUGCAAGGCAGGGAAAUGAAUGCUUCCUAUGGUAGCUUGCGUGAUGUCUCUAGUUUCUCCAACAGAUAUACUAGAGAAAAAAAAUCUCUAACCGAAGACUUAGCAGGAUCUUUAAGAUUACCCCAAUUGGGUAUUUUGCAAAUCCUAUUGAAAUCCUCCAAAUCCAUGGCAUAGGAUUUAUCAUACAGAUCAAACAGUAUGGAUGAGUCACGGCCAACUGAAAAUUUAAAUCUACGCACGAAAGAGGCAGUGAGCAUAGCAUACUGUUCACAUUUAUCUGAGAGGAAUUCUUCUAACCCGGCAUUGUGGACAAGUGUAUGAAACUCAUCCUUGAAGCCUGCUUCGAUCAUAAACUCAUCGGAAGGCCACUCACAUGGUUGUACCGGUGCGUCCCUUAGUUGAUAAGGUUCGGGCUCCCGAAUGGAAAGACGGGGACCCUUCUUACUUGAGGAACCACCAUGAAAAUUCCUCGUGAACAUAAUUUCUUUUUGCUGAAAUUUUGAAGUUCAAGAGAAAAGUGAAUAAAGACCAACCACACCUUGUAGCAACUACUCCUACUAGUGUCUAGGGACCGUAUCACGCGCUAAAACUACUUGGGACCAGCUAAAAUCAACAUAUCAAGCUCAAGAACAGGGUCACCAAGGUAGCAAGAAUACGCGGAAGAUAAAGCACUAGAGCAAAAACUAAUUGGACCAAUGGAGGAGUCACUUACCAAGGAGUAAUUUCCCCAAAACGGUUCGGAGAAUGGUGCUUUGAGCAAGGAGAUCGAAAAUCACAGCCAAAUGAGCAAGAACACGGGUUUGAGCUGCGAAACGAUUUUUUCUGGAGGUAGAGGAAGAGGAUGGGAGCUGGAAUGAGUGGAGGGGGUCCCUAUGGGCCCCACAAGCUUGCUUGCCGCGACUAGGGGGGUGGCCGCGGUGACAGGGCUUGUGGCCCACUGGUGUGGCCCCCCAGGCGAGCUCUCAGUCCCAGUAUUUUUCAAAUAUUCCAGAAAAAAUCAUACUAGAUUUUCAGGACCAUCGGAGAACUUUUAUUUUCGGGGUACUUUUCUCCGGGAUGCUAAAACAGAAAACAGGGAAAACUAAACUAACCCUAUCAUUUUUCUUCUAAGCAACAGAAAGUGAAAGCUUAAAACAGAGGUAUGUGAGUCUUUGGUUCAUCCAUUUCAUGGUCAUCGAAGGAAAUCCGUCAAUGGGGUUGAUCAAAUCCUCAUGACACAACUUUUUCGAAUCGCAAAAGGAAACGGAGAAUUUUCUAAUAGUCACUAAGUCACCUCAAUGGGGAUAUGAAUCUCCCCAACAAGCAAAUCAUACUUCAUCUUGACACGGGGAAUAGGGCAUUCAAAGCUACCAAUAAGAAUCGAUGAAGUUUUUUCGAUAGCAUUGAUGCAAUGUACUUGAUAUCGUUUCUUCGGAAAGUGCAUGGUAUGCUCAUUAACGUUGACAUGGAAAGUGACAUUGCCUUUGUUGCAAUCUAUAACAUCCCAUGUAGUGUUUAAAAAGGGUCUUCCGAGGAUGACAAACAUGGCAUCGUCCUCGGGAAUAUCCAAGAUAACAAAGUCUGUUAAGAUAGUGGUGUUAGCAACCACAACAGGCACAUCCUCGCAAAUGCCGAUAGGGAAAGCAGUUGAUUUGUCGGCCAUUUGCAAAGAAAUUUCAGUGGGUGUCAACUUAUCUAGUUCAAGUCUACGAUAAAGAGAGAGAGGCAUAACACUAACUCCGGCUCCAAGGUCACAUAAGGCAGUUCUUACAUAGUUUCCUUUAAUGGAGCAAGGUAUAGUGGGCACUCCGGGAUCACCAAGUUUCUUAGGAGUUCCACCUUUGAAAGUGUAAUUGGCAAGCAUGGUGGAGAUCUCAAGAUCUGGUAUCUUCCAUUUGUUGGUCACGAUAUCUUUCAUGUACUUGGCAUAUGGAGACUUUUUGAGCAUAUCAACUAACCGCAUCUCCAGAAAGACGGGUCUUAUCAUUUCAAUAAAGCGCUCAAAAUCCUCAUCAUCUUUUUCUUGGAUGGCUUAGGAGGAAAGGGCAUAGGUCCCUGAACCCAUGGCUCUUUACCAUGCUUCCUAGCAGUGAAGUCAUUCUUAUCAUAUCUCUUAGGUUGUGGUUCAUCAGGAUUAAUCGUAGGUUCAAUCUCCACAUCCUUAUCAUUGCUAGUUUGAGCAUCAUUAUGAACAUCGCUGUCCAUAUUGUCACCAGGUUCAUGUUCAUCACCAGAUUGUGUUUCUGCAUCAGACGCGGAAAUAUCAUUUGGUUCUUCAGGUGUGACAGUAUUUGGUGAACUAACAUGUAGGUUUCUAUCAUCCUUCUUCUUCUCCUUAGGAUGACUGGGUGUAUCAGCAUUAAUUCCUUGAGAAUCUUGAUCAAUUCUCUUAGGAUGACCUUCAGGAUACAAAGGUUCUUGAGUCAUUUUGCCUCCUCUAGUAAUGACUCUGACAGAGUUUUCAUUUAAUUCAUUGAGCAAGUCAUUCUGAGCUUUAAGUACUUGUUCUACCUGAGUAGUAAUCAUAGAGGCAUGUUUACUCAGAAGCUUCAGAUCAUUGACAUUUCUGUCUACAUAAGCCCUUAAAUGACUAAGCAUACGAGUACUUUGUUCCAAAUGUCUGCUAACAUAAUCAUUGAAACUCUGUUGUUUGGCAACAAAGUUGUCAAAUUCAUCAAAGCAUAAGCUAGCAGGUUUGUCAAAAGGAAUAUCACUCUCAUCAAACCUACGCAGAGAAUUUACUUCUACUACCUGUAUCGGGUUAUCGAUACCAUGGAUCUCUUCGAUAGGUGGUAGAUUUUUGACAUCUUCAGAUCUAAUGCCUUUCUCUUGCAUAGAUUUCUUAGCUUCUUGCAUAUCUUCGGGACCGAGGAAUAUAAUACCUCUUUUCUUCGGAGUUGGCUUAGGUGGUGGUUCGGGAAUAGUUCAAGCAUUAUCGUUGAUCAAGAUGUUAUUCAGUAGAGUCUCAGCUUGUUCUAUAGUUCGUUCCCAAAAAACACAACCGACACAACUAUCUAGGUGGUCUCUAGAAGCAUCGGUAAGUCCGUUAUAGAAGAUAUCAAGUAUCUCGUUCUUCUUAAGAGGGUGAUUAGGCAAAGCAUUCUGUAGCUGGACGAGCCUCCCCCAAGCUUGUGGGAGACUCUCUCUUUGAGUUGAGCAAAGUUGUAUAUUUCCUGCAAGGCAGCUUGCUUCAUAUGGGCAGGGAAAUAUUUCUCACAGAAGUAAUAGACCAUAUCCUGGGGACUACUCACACAUCUAGGAGCAAGAGAAGUGAACCAGGCUUUAGCGUCAUCCUUUACAGAGAAAGGAAAUAGCUUAAGGAUAUAGUAGUGGCAGAUCUUCUCCUCACUAGUGAAAAGGGUGGCUAUAUCGUGUAGUUUGGUAAGAUGGGUUACGAGCGUCUCAGACUCAUAACCGUGGAAAGGAUCAGAUUCGACUAGAGAGAUUAUCUCAGGGUCAACAAAGAAUUCAUAAUCCUCAUCGGUGAUAAAGAUAGGUGAAGUGGCAAACUUCGGGUUGUAUUUCAUCCUAGCUUUCAGAGAUUUUUCCUUCCACUUGAGAAGUAAUUUCUCAGCGUCAUAGGCAUCCUUACACGCAAGAAAAUCCUCAGCUAUCUCUCCCUCCAUAACGUAACCCUCAGGUAUAUCAGGAAAUUCAUAUCUAGGAGAGCUAGAUCUAGCAGGAGCAAAAGCAGGUUCUAACUCAAUAGUAUCGGCAGUUUCAGAAGCAUGACGAGCAUUGGCAGUAACUCUAGCAAUAUGAGCAUCAAGGAAUACCCCUAGUGGCACAUCAGACAAAGUAGUAUCUCUAGCAGUAUCAAGCAUAACAUAAUCAGGCAAAAUAGCAUCUCUAGCAUCAUCAGGCAAAGAAGUAUCAAGCAUAGCAUCAUCAGGCAUAACAUCUCUAGCAGUAUCAGGCAUAUCAUCUCUAGCAGUAGCGUCAUAACCAUCAUCAAGCACAUGCGACAUAUCAAGAUUUCUAGCAGGACGUGAUGUCGCAAACUUACUCAUAACUGAAGGUGAAUCAAGUGCAGAGCUAGAUGGCAGUUCCUUACCCUCGUAGUUGAGGGCAAAACUUUGGUUUUUGGAUCUUUCAAAUUCUUCAUAGUGAUGAGCAGAUAUAAAUCCCAAGUGACUCAGAGAAUAUAGCAAUCCCUUCCCCGGCAACGGCGCCAGAAAAAAUGCUGCUAGCAGUCCCCGGCAACGGCACUAGAGAAAUGCUGUUGACGUGUUCCUGACUUGAUGCCUCCAUGGCAACGGAGCCAUGACUGCUCCCAGUUGCUCAACAAUUAGCAAUUGUCUUGCAAUGGCCCACCAGCGCGUGGGUUCGCAGCGGUUUUCGAGGGUAGAGUAUUCAACCCAAAUUUGUUGGUUCGCCCGACAGGAAGUGAAAGGAUACUCUCAAGUAUUAGCAGCUGAAUGUGUCAGAUUCAAACACACCUGAAAGAUUAGUAUCUGCAAGAAAAGUAUCAGCAGCAAAGUAGUAUGAUAAAAAUGGUGCAAGAAACGAUCUGUUGACGACAGACUAUUCCUAACAGUUGUAUCAAUGGCGCCAAAAGUUUCCCGUGUACGGGAAAUAUUCUUUCCCGAUGACGGGGCGAGAAAAAGUAUUGUAGCAGGGCAACGAGUAUCAGCAGUGGCCAGGAACAGCAGUAGUGACAGCAGUAGCAAGUAGCAACAGUAGCAAGUAACAACAGUAGCAAGUAGCAGUAGAGCAAAGCAAGUAACAGCAGCAACAACAGUAGUAACAACAGCAGAGCAAAACAAGUAACAACAGCAGUGGGACAAACUCGUAGGCAAUGGGUCGGUGAUUCGUUUGGAUGACAUUCAUCAUGCCACAGUUAUAACACGGAGAGAUAUGUGGCUAGCUCCCGUUCGUCAAUGUGAUGUAGGCAUGCAUUCCGUGUGUCGUCAUACGUGCUUAGGGAAAAGAACUUGCAUGACAUCUAUUGUUCAUCCCUCCCGUGGCAGCGGGGUCCAAAAGGAUACUACGGGUUAUUAAGGUUCUCCUUUUAAUAAAGAACCGGAACAACGCAUUAGCACUUGGUGAACACAUGAACUCCUCAAACUAUGGUCAUCACCGGGAGUGGUUCCGGUUAUUGUCACUCCGGGGUUGCCGGGUCAUAACACAUAGUAGGUAACUACAACUUGCAAGAUCGGAUCUAAAACACACAUAUAUUGGUGACAACAUAAUAAUUUCAGAUCUGAAAUCAUGGCACUCGGGCCCUAGUGACAAGCAUUAAGCAUGGCAAAGUAGUAGCAACAUCAAUCUCAGAACAUAGUGGAUACUAGGGAUCAAUCCCCGUCAAAACUAACUCGAUUACAUGAUAGAUCUCAUCCUACUCAUCACCGCCCAGCGAGCCUACGAAUAGAUUACUCACAAACGAUGAAGAGCUUCAUGGAAUUGGAGAGGGAAGAAGGUUGAUGAUGACGGUGGCGACGAUUGCCCUUCUCCGGAGCCCAAAACAGGCUCUAGAUCUGUCCUCCAGAUGAAGAACAGGAUGUGGCGGCGCCUCCGUAUCGCAAACGCGAUGAAAUCUUCUCUUCUGUUUUUUUGGGACGAAAGUGAAUUUAUAGAGCUGGAGUGGGGGGCGGCAGACCCACGUGGGCCCCACAAGCUUGGUUGUCGCGGCGAGGGGGGCCGCGGCAACAGGGCUUGUGGCCCAUUGGCCCAUCCGCUCCGGUGGAUCUUUGUGCAGGUAUUUUUCAAAUUUUCCAGAAAUAUUCUCCGUAAAUUUUCAGGAUGUACCAAGAACUUUCAUUUCUGCACAAAAACAACACCAUGGCAAUUCUGCUGAAAACAGCGUCAGUCCGGGUUAGUUCCAUUCAAAUCAUGCAAAUUAGAGUCCAAAACAAGGGCAAAAGAAUUUGGAAAAGUAGAUACGAUGGAGACGUAUCAGGUGACAAUUCAGAGGCGAAGAGGUCAUGGUUUUCCUGCUGCCACCUUGCCUAGUCACCCCAAAGGUUGGGAAAACACUUGGUUUUACUGUAAGAAAACUUCACGUGUCAAUGGGAACCCCCUACCAGGUUUUAGAUAAGAGCGCCUUCCAAUGGAUUUUGAACUGCUCGACUGACCUACUCUAUAAGAACGUGCCACUCUUGCCUCUGUAUGUCCCAAACUCAGAGCCCUGAAGGCCAAUGGUUUGACCAGCGUUGAUCUGACCGGUGUUGGGUAGAUUGGUGGAUCAUGCCCCUGAGUCACCGUGGCGUUCUAAUGUGCGAGUAUGACAACGACUUGAACAAUGUGCAACACUUCAACGACAUCAUGCUCGAUUCCAUGAAGUCAACAGAGCUGUAAAGAGGCUGUUGGGUGAACCCAAAGAAGCUUGCGUUAAAAUUGGACUGAAGCCGUUCUAUACUCAGAACCUGGCUGCUGAGGUAGGUAAUCUUUAACAUCUUCUCCCUUGCUUAUGCAUUUCUCUGGUGCUUUAAAACUCGCUUUUCCUUGUCAAUUAUUUUUGCACAAGAACUCACCCUUAUUGAAACGGAGACAACAAAAGGUGUCUGCCAAGAAAACCAAAGUUGCCCCAAAAAAGAAGAAAAACAAGGUGGCUAUUGAAGAGUCGUCGGUCAUGGGCGAGUCAAAAACCAUUGAUGACCAAUCUGAGGUAAACCUUUAUCUUCACCCUAUUUUUAACUUAUGCUUACUAAUCACUUCUUCAAUCUCAGGAUGAUGACGCUGAUAGCCAAGAUGAAGAAGUUGAGGUAAUUUCAAUCUCUUCCGACUCAGAUAUCUCGUUUCCAAGGCCACCAAGGCGGGCUGUUAGGAAAAUUCCUUUGUCUCACCCGGAAGCAUAUUUGGCUCCCGAUUUCCUUUUGAAGAAGGCUUUAUUUGCCCCAAGGCGCCAGACCCGAAGCUCUUCGGGUGAUCUUGCGACGAGUUUACUUGAGAAAGCCUCCACUCGUAAACGACGAAACGAGGUAGCCGAUAACCCAUCCCUUUCUUUUAAAGCUAGCCACAUUCAACGGCCUCUUAAACCUUUUGACUCAAAUUAUCAGGAAUCUCCACCUCCAUCGGGCAACUCAUCUGCGUCAAAGCUGCCACCUCUUGUUUUCCUUCCAGGGUAACUUUUGCUUUUGUGUCUAAUACUUGCCUUAGUACUUUUAAUCCAUUAUAUGUGCCUUAACUUCUACUCUUCAAGGCUUAGGAUAAAGCCAAAAGAGGAAAGUUGGUGGGUCAUCAAAUAAUCCUGGUGCACCUAAACAUGAGGAUUUGGAAUUUACUAUUCAUGAGAUCAUGUUGAGCCGGUUGACACACGUGUUGAACUUCCUGAAAUUCAUCAAGGCACCGUUGAUGAUCCUGCUGAUAUUCAUGUUGAGCCGGAAAGUGCUGAUGGAACAACCAUGGAGACAAGUCCGAAGGCCAAUCCUUACCCGCCUAGUCCUCCAAAAACAACCAAGGACGCUACGUUUGGCGGGGAAAGGGUUGUCAUCACUGGGACGUGUUAUACAACACCUGUCUCCACCGUCUUGGACAAGCACACUGCUAAAGGUGCAACGCGUUUACGAGAGAAAUGGAAAGCUAAGCUUGAGCUUCCCAAUAUUGAAAAACUUAGUUUCAAAGAACUGCACUCUGGAUAUCCAAGCCGCCUCUCCACCAACCGGGAUAUGGAGGCUAGCCUGGUUGGUAUGAUGAAGAAAAGAUAUGAGGUAUGCUGAACUCAAACUUGUACUCCAUAUAUCCUUAUGUAGCCCCCAAUGGUCGUGUCAUCUUCUUGAAGAUGAGUUGGGUCUUGAUGAAAUAAAAUUAUGAAAAAUCCGCCUGUAGCCCCCAAGGGCCGAGUCAUCUUCUUGAAGAUGAAUCGGUUCUUAUCAUACUUUCUUGUGAGAUUUUGACCUGUAGCCCUGAUACGUCCAUUUUGCAUCAUGCUUUCAUGUUGAUAUUUAUCGCUUUAUGGUCUGAUAUAUUACUUUGUGGUACCAUACUUAUGUCUUUUCUCUCUUAUUUUGCAAGGUUUAUUUGAAGAGGGAGAAUACCGACAGCUGGAAUUCUGGACUAGAAAAGGAGCAAGUCUGAGUCCUCUAUUCUAGCAACUCCAAAUGCCCUGAAAAUCAACGAGGAAUUUUUUGGGAAUAUAUAAAAAAUACUGGGCGAAAGAAGUGCCAGAGGGGAGCUACCAGGGGCCCACAAGCCUGGUAGCCGCCACCUACCCCCUAGCGGCGGCUACAUGGCUUGUGGGCACCCUGGUGGCCCACUGGCCCCCCUCUUUUGCUAUAUGAAGGGUUUCGUCCAGGAAAAAAAUCAGGGUGGAGAUUUUUCAUGGAUUCUCCGCCGCCACGAGGCGGAACUUGAGCAGAACCAAUCUAGAGCUCCGGCAGGACGAUCCUGCCGGGGAAACUCCCCUCCCGGAGGGGGAAAAUCGUCGCCAUCGUCAUCACGAACACUCCUCUCGUCGGAGGGGAGUCAUCUGCAUCAACAUCUUCAUCAGCACCAUCUCCUCUCCAAACCCUAGUUCAUCUCUUGUAACCAAUCUCCGUCUCGCGACUCCGAUUGGUACUUGUAAGGUUGCUAGUAGUGUUGAUUACUCUUUGUAGUUGAUGCUAGUUGGAUUACUUGGUGGAAGAGUAUUUGUUCAGAUCCUUGAUGCUACUCAUUACACCUCUGAUCAUGAUUAUGAUUAUGUCUUGUGAGUAGUUACUUUUUUUCCUGAGGACAUGGGAUAAGUCAUGCUGAUAAUAGUCAUGUGAAUUUGGUAUUCGUUCGUCAUUUUGAUAUGCUGUAUGUUGUCUUUUCCUCUAGUGGUGUUACGUGAACGUCGACUACAUAACACUUCACCAUCUUUGGGCCUAGAGGAAGGCAUUGGGGAGUAGUAAGUAGAUGAUGGGUUGCUAGAGUGACAGAAGCUUAAACCCUAGUCUAUGCGUUGCUUCGUAAGGGGCUGAUUUGGAUCCACUAGUUUAAUGCCAUGGUUAGACGUUGUCUUAAUUCUUCUUUCGUAGUUGCGGAUGCUUGCGAGAGGGGUUAAUCAUAAGUGGAAUGCUUGUCAAAGUAAGGGAAGCACCCCAAGCGCCGGUCCACCCACAUAUCAAACUAUCAAAGUAACGAACGUGAAUCACAUGAACAUGAUGAAACUAGCAUGACAGAAAUUCCCGUGUGUCCUCGGGAGCGCUUUUCCUCCUAUAAGACUUUGUUUAGGCUUGUCCCUUGCUACAAAAGGGAUUGGGCCACUUGCUGCACCGUUACUACUACUUGUCACUUGUUACUUUUCACUUGCUACGUUUCACCUCACUACACCAUCACUUGUUACCGCUACUUUCAGUGCUUGCAGUAAUUACCUUGCUGAAAACCGUUUAUCAGAGCCUUCUGCUCCUCGUUGGGUUCGACACUCUUAAUUAUCAAAAUGACUACGAUUGAUCCCCUAUACUUGUGGGUCAUCAAGACUCUUUUCUGGCGACGUUGCCGGGGAGCCAGGUGCCUUUGGUAAGUGGAAUUUGGUAAGGAAACAUUUAUAUACUGUGCUGAAAUUUAUUGUCACUUGUCACUAUGGAAACUGUUCCUUUGAGGAAUUUGUUCGGGGUAUCUUCACCACGAACGGAAGCACAAGAAGUUGCUCCUCAGCCUGAGGUACCUACUAAAAAUAUAUUUUAUGAAAUUCCUUCGGGUAUGCUUGAGAAACUGCUGGCUAAUCCUUUUACAGGAGAUGGAUCAUCACAUCUAGACUUGCAUCUAAUCUAUGUAGAUGAAGUUUGUGGUUUAUUUGAGCUUGCAGGUUUGCCUGAGGAUGAGGUAAAUAAGAAAGUCUUUCCUUAAUCUUUGAAGGAUAAGGCAUUGACAUGGUAUAGGCUAUGUGAUGAUACUGGAUCAUGGGACUACAAUCGGUUGAAAUUGGAAUUUCAUCAAUAGUUUUAUCCUAUGCAUUUAGUACAUCGUGAUCGGAAUUAUAUUUAUAACUUUUGGCCUUGUGACAGGGAAAGCAUAGCUCAAGCUUGGGGGAGGCUUAAAUCAAUGCUAUAUUCAUGCCCCAAUCAUGAGCUCUCGAGAGAAAUUAUCACUCAAAACUUUUAUGCUUGGCUUUCUCAUGAAGAUCGUACCAUGCUUGACACUUCUUGUACCGGUUCUUUUAUGAAGAAGGAUAUUGACCACAAGUGGAAUUUAUUGAAAGAAUCAAACGUAACUCUGAAGAUUGGGAGCUUGAAGAAGGUAAGGAGUCAGGUAUGAAUUUCCAGUUUGAUUGCGUUAAAUCUUUUGUUGAAACAAACACUUCUAGAGAUUUUAGCACUAAGUAUGGACUUGGCUGUGAGAUAGUAGCUUCUUUAUGUGAAUCCUUUGCUCCUCAUGUUGAUAUUCCCAAAGAGAAGUGGUUUAAGUAUCAUCCUCAUGUAGAAGUCAACAUAGUUAAACCCAAUCUAGUUGAAGAGAAAGUCAUUGCCUUUAGUGAUCCUUGUUCCUACGCUGAGAAACCACCUUACCCUGCUAGGAAAAAGGAUUAUUGUAAAGCUCCAACUAUGAUACGUAGGGGUUACAUUAGACCACUUGCACCCCGUGAAGAAAUUAGAGUUGAACCUAGUGUUGCUAUUAUCAAAGAUCUCUUAGCCGAAGACAUAGACGGGCAUGUUAUCAAAUUCUGUGAGGACUCCGCUAGAAUUGCUAAACGUCACGCGAAAGACAAAUACGGACUUGUAGUUGGCCUGCCCGUUGUUUCUGUCAAGAUAGGAGAUCACUGUUAUCAUGGUUUAUGUGAUAUGGGCGCUAGUGUUAGUGCAAUACCCCGGUCCCUAUACGAUGAAAUCAAAGAUGAGAUUGCACCUGCUGAGUUAGAACCCAUUAUGUCACUAUCAUGCUAGCUAAUAGAGACACUAUCUGCCCUGUGGGAAUUGUGCGAGAUGUAGAAGUCUUGURUCGNNNNNNNNNNNNNNNNNNNNNNNNNNNNNNNNNNNNNNNNNNNNNNNNNNNNNNNNNNNNNNNNNNNNNNNNNNNNNNNNNNNNNNNNNNNNNNNNNNNNGAUAGCUGGUACUUGUAAGGUUGCUAGUAGUGUUGAUUACUCUUUGUAGUUGAUGCUAGUUGGAUUACUUGGUGGAAGAGUUUAUGUUCAGAUCCUUGAUGCUACUCAUUACACCUCUGAUCAUGAUUAUGAUUAUGCUUUGUGACUAGUUACUUUUGUUCCUGAGGACAUGGGAUAAGUCAUGUUGAUAAUAGUCAUGUGAAUUUGGUAUUCGUUCGGUAUUUUGAUUUGCUAUAUGUUGUCUUUUCCUCUAGUGGUGUUAUGUGAACGUCGACUACAUAACACUUCACCAUCUUUGGGCCUAGAGGAAGGCAUUGGGGAGUAGUAAGUAGAUGAUGGGUUGCUAGAGUGAAAGAAGCUUAAACCCCAGUCUAUGUGUUGCUUCGUAAGGGGCUGAUUUGGAUCCACUAGUUUAAUGCUAUGGUUAGACGUUGUCUCAAUUCUUAUUUCGUAGUUGCGGAUUCUUGCGAGAGGGGUUAAUCAUAAGUGGGAUGCUUGUCCAAGUAAGGGCAGUACCCAAGCGCCGGUCCACGCACAUAUCAAACUAUCAAAGUAACGAACGCGAAUCACAUGAACAUGAUGAAACUAGCAUGACAGAAAUUCCCGUGUGUCCUCGGGAGCGCUUUUCCUCCUAUAAGACUUUGUUCAGGCUUGUCCCUUGCUACAAAAGGGAUUGGGCCAUUUUCUGCACCGUUGCUACUACUUGUUACUUGUUACUUUUCACUUGCUACGUUUCACCUCACUACACCAUCACUUGUUACCGCUACUUUCAGUGCUUGCAGUUAUUACGUUGCUGAAAACCGUUUAUCAUAGCCUUCUGCUCCUCGUUGGGUUCGACAUUCUUACUUAUCGAAAGGACUACGAUUGAUCCCCUAUACUUGUGGGUCAUCAAGCCCCCAAGGGCCGAGUCAUCUUCUUAAAAAUGAGUCGGGUCUUAUCAUACUUGUGAGAUUUCAACCUGUAGCCCCCAAGGGCCGANNNNNNNNNNNNNNNNNNNNNNNNNNNNNNNNNNNNNNNNNNNNNNNNNNNNNNNNNNNNNNNNNNNNNNNNNNNNNNNNNNNNNNNNNNNNNNNNNNNNGGAUGCAUAUGAAGCAAAAAUUAUUCAUGCACAGGUUACCCGAGGGAGGUAAUGUUUUGAAUCAUAUUUUAGAAUUUAAAGAGAUCAUAUCCGAUCUAGCUGCAAUGUAGGUUAAGUAUGACGAGGAAGAUAUUGUUUUGAUGUCACUUUGUUCACUGCCAAGUUCUUAUACCAAUUUCCGAGACACCAUAUUAUACAGUCGUGAUACUCUCAUGCUUAAUAAAGUUUAUGAAGCUUUGAACUCUAAGGAGAAGAUGAAAUUAAUGGUGCCUCAUGAUGGUUCAAGUUCAUCCCAAGCCAAUGGAUUAUUGUUCACGGUAGGACAAAGGAGAAGAACUCACAUAAUGGAAACCGUGGCAAAAGUAAGAACGACUACACGGGCCGGUCGCAAUCCAAAGACAAGAAACAAUCUUGCAGAUAUUGCAAGAUAGACGGGAAUGACAUCUCAUAAUAUUGCAAGUUGCAGAACAAGGAAUAGAGGAGCGACACAUACAAACCAAAAGGUAACAAACAAGGUGAAAGUUCUGCUAAUGUUGCUCGUGAUGAUAGUUCAAAAGAUGCUCUUGUUGUUAUUGCUGGAUGUGCUGAGACCAAUGAUGAUAGGGUACUUGACACUGUAUGUACUUUUCAUAUGUUCCCGAAUAGAGAUUGGUUUACUACUUUUGAUUCUACUACUGCCGUUUGUUCCGUUUUGGGUUUUGAUAAUUCACCAUCCAUGGUUGAAGGCAUAGGUUCCAUUCGAAUCAAGAUGUUUGAUGGCACAAUCACAACUUUUACAGAUGUUCGAUGUAUUCCAAUGAUGAAGAGAAAUAUUAUCUCUCUGAGUGCGCUUGAUGCAAAGGGAUACAAGUUUUCAAGGGAAGAUAGCGUUUUGAAGGUCACCAAAGGUUAUCUCAUUAUGGUGAAGGAUGACUUAAGUUCGACCAAUUGUAUUUAUUACCUUCGAGGUUCUACCAUUUCAGGUAACGCUACUAUGGUUAUUUCAAAGAAUUCUGGUUGUGAUGAUGCUAACCUUUCGCACAUGCGUCUUGGACAUAUGAGUGAACUUGGUUUGGCAGAGUUAAAUAAGAGAGGUCUUCUUAAAUGAUAUGAAUCUGAUAAGUUGAAAUUUUGUGAGCAUUGUAUCUUCGGCAAGGACAAGAGGGUGAAGUUCAACACUUUGACUCAUACAAUAAAGGUAUUCUUGAUUAUGUGUAUUCUGAUUUAUGGGGACAAUCUCACAAAAAGUCACUAGGUGGUCCUAGUUACAUUUUAACUAUUAUUGAUGAUUAUUCUACAAAAGUUUGGCCUUAUUUCUUGGAGCAUAAAUGGCAAGCAUUCUCAGCUUUUAAGGAGUGGAAGAUUAUGAUUGAGAGGAAAACUAAAAAUAAGGUAAAAAUACUUCGCACUGAUAAUGGUAUGGAAUUCUAUUCUAAGCAAUUUGAGAAUUAUUGCAAGUCUGAAGGCAUUGUUAGACACUACACCAUUCCUUAUACUCCUCAAUGAAACAGUGUUGUCGAGCGUAUGAACAUGACCAUUAUUUCCAAAGCUUGUUGCAUGUUGUCCAAUGCAGGUUUGCAUAGGCGUUUUUGGGCUGAAGCCGCUUCCACUUCUUGUUAUCUCAUUAACCGUCCACCAUCUAUUGCUCUUAAUAAGAAAACUCCAACUAAGGUAUGGUCUGGUGCACCUGUUGAUUAUUCAUAGUUGAGAGUUUUUGGUUGCACUACUUAUGCUCAUGUUGAUAAUGGAAAGUUGUAGCCUAGGGCUGUUAAGUGCAUCUUUCUUGGUUACAAACCUGGUGUUAAAGGUUUUAAAUUGUGGACUCCUGAAACACAUAAGAUUUUUAUCAGCAGAAAUGUUAUCCUUAAUGAAUCAUCUAUGUUACUUGAUGUUCCAUCUACUAAUGUUCCUGUUGAAAGUGAACAACAGCCUACUGUUCAGGUGGAGCAUGUUAUCGAUUCAGGUGAUAAUUCUGACAAGGAAAAUGUUGAUGCACAUGACGAUCCCGUCUUUGAUGAUGGACAUGUCACUCCAAAUCAUCCUAUUGUUCCAACCGGUUGGAAUCUCGCACGUGACAGAGUUAAGUGGGGUAUUAAUGCACCUGAAAGGUUAUUGAAGAGUGCAAUAUUGUUUCUUUUGCUUUAUCUGUUGUCGAAGAAAUUGAAGGUAAUGCCGAGCCUUCUUCAUAUUCUGAGGCUAUUAUUUCUGGUGAUAGUAAUAAACGGAUGACUGCUAUGCAUGAUGAUAUGGAGUCACUUGAAAAGAAUGGCACUUGGGAUUUAGUAAGAAUACCUAGAGAGAAGGAACAUAUUCGUUGCAAGUGGGUUUUCAAAAGAAAGGAAGGUGUUUCUCCUAAUGAUGAGAAAAGAUAUAAAGCAAGUUUAGUUGCUAAAGGUUAUAGUCAAAUUCCAGUUAUUUACUAUAACAAAGUAUUUUCUCGUGUUGUGAAGCAUAUCUCUGUUUGCACUUUACUUAGUAUUGCUGCCAUGAAUGAUUUUGAUCUUGAACAAUUGGAUGUUAAAACUGCAUUUUUACAUCGAGAAUUAGAAGGGGAUAUUUAUAUAGAUCAACGUGAAGGUUUUGUUAUUCCUAGAAAAGCAAAGCUUGUCUGUAAGUUAAAAAUAUAUAUUUAUGGAUUGAAGCAAUCCCCUAGGUAGUGGUACAAGAGAUUUGACACCUUUAUGCUCUCUCAAGGUUUCGAAUGGUCUAAUUAUGAUAGCUAUGUUUAUUUGAAAACGGUCAAUGGUUCAACUAUUUAUUUGCUCCUUUAUGUUGAUGAUAUGUUAAUUGCUGCAAAGAGCAUGUUAGAGAUUGAUGAACUAAACAAGCAAUUGAGUAAUUAAUUUGAGAUGAAGGAUUUGGGUGCAACAAAGAAAUUACUUGGCAUGUAAAUAUCUAGAGAUAGACCAUCUGGAAAAUUAUAUCUAACUGAGAAGGGAUAUAUUGAUAAAGUUCUUCGUCGUUUUAAUAUGCAUAAUGCCAAGCCACUAAGUUCUCCAUUAGCUGCACACUUGAAAUUAUCAUCAACCUUAUGUCGUAAGUCAGAUUCUAAGAUUGAGUACAUUUCUAGAGUUCCCUAUUCAAGUGCAGUCGGUUCACUUAUGCAUGACAUGGUUUGUUCUCAUCCUGAUUUAUCUUAUGCAUUGAGUGUUGUUAGUAGAUACAUGGAUAAUCCUGGAAAAGAGCAUCGAAAAGCAGUUCAGUGGAUUUUCACAGACCUGCGAGGUACUUCUAAUUCUUAUUUACAUUUUGGGAAAACUAGAGAUGGACUUGUUAGUUUUGUUGAUUUUGAUUUUGAUGGUGAUUUGGAUAAGAUAAGAUCACUCACAUAUUAUGUUUUCACCAUUGGUGGUUGUGAUGUGAGUUGGAGAGCAACUUUGCAGUCUACUGUGGCUUGUUCCACAAUCGAUGCCGAGUAUAUGGCUAUUUCUGAGGCAUGUAAAGAAGCUAUUUGGUUGAGAGGUUUAUACACUGAGCUUUGUGGAGACUCGUCUCGCCCUACCAUAUUUAGUGACAGUCAAUGUGCUAUAUAUCUUAUAAAGAAUCCAAUGUAUCAUGAGAGAACGAAGCACAUUGAUCUCCGAUUUCACUAUAUUCGAGAUGUUGUUGCUAAAGGUGAUUUGAAGGUAUGCAAGAUAAGUACCCAUGAUAAUCCAGCUGAUAUGAUGACAAAGCCAGUUCCUACCAAUAAGUUUGAUCUUUGCUGAGGCUUAGUUGGUAUUUCUCACUAGCCCUAUGGACUUUGACGCACAUGGUGUUUAUGCUGAUUUGGAUGGAGUUAUUUACUUUCUUCGACUACUGAAGGGAAUUUGGCUCAAGGUGGAGAUUGUUAAAUUGUGAUCCAAAUUCUACCGUGUUGGACUAGACUAAGUCAAAACAGUGUGGGCCUUUGCGUUGGUACCGGCGCGUUCGAGUAUAACUCAUUUACUUGUCCUCCAAGGACUCUCAUAUAUUGCCCCUCAUAUAUAAUUCAUGUAGUCGCACCUAAACAUGACCCGUCGUCUCAUGCUUGUAAUACUCCACCCUCAUAAUGAUUGCUGUUGGAAUUAUGCCCUAGAGGCAAUAAUAAAUAUAGUUAUUAUUAUAAUUCCUGUAUCAAGAUAAUCGUUUAUUAUCCAUGCUAUAAUUGUAUUGAAUGAAGACUCAUUUACAUGUGUGGAUACAUAGACAAAACACCGUCCCUAGCAAGCCUCUAGUUGGCUAGCCAGUUGAUCAAAGAUAGUCAGUGUCUUCUGAUUAUGAACAAGGUGUUGUUGCUUGAUAACUGGAUCACGUCAUUAGGAGAAUCACUCGAUGGACUAGGCCCAAACUAAUAGACGUAGCAUGUUGAUCGUGUCAUUUUGUUGCUACUGUUUUCUGUGUGUCAAGUAUUUAUUCCUAUGACCAUGAGAUCAUAUAACUCAUUGACACCAGAGGAAUGCUUUGAGUGUAUCAAACGUCGCAACGUAACUGGGUGACUAUAAAGAUGCUCUACAGGUGUCUCCGAAGGUGUUAGUUGAGUUAGUAUGGAUCAAGACUGGGAUUUGUCACUCCGUGUGACGGAGAGGUAUCUCGGGGCCCACUCGGUAAUACAACAUCACACACAAGCCUUGCAAGCAAUGUGACUUAGUGUAAGUUGCGGGAUCUUGUAUUACGGAACGAGUAAAGAGACUUGCCGGUAAACGAGAUUGAAAUAGGUAUGCAGAUACUGACGAUCGAAUCUCGGGCCAGUGACAUACCGAAGGACAAAGGGAAUGACAUACGGGAUUAUAUGAAUCCUUGGCACUGAGGUUCAAACGAUAAGAUCUUCGUAGAAUAUGUAGGAUCCAAUAUGGGCAUCCAGGUCCCGCUAUUGGAUAUUGACCGAGGAGUCUCUCGGGUCAUGUCUACAUAGUUCUCGAACCCGCAGGGUCUGCACACUUAAGGUUCGACGUUGUUUUAUGCGUAUUUGAGUUAUAUGGUUGGUUACGGAAUGUUGUUCGGAGUCCCGGAUGAGAUCACGGACGUCAUGAGGGUUUCCGGACUGGUCCGGAAACGAAGAUUGAUAUAUAGGAUGACCCCAUUUGAUUACCGGAAGGUUUUCGGAGUUACCGGGAAUGUACCGGGAAUGACGAAUGGGUUCCGGGAGUCCACUGGGGGGGGGCAACCCACCCCGGGGAAGCCCAUAGGCCUUGAGGGUGGCACACCAGCCCUUAGUGGGCUGGUGGGACAGCCCAAAAGGGCCCGAUGCGCCUAGGAAAGAAAAUCAAAGAGAAAAAAAAGGAGGUGGGAAGGGAAGGAAGGACUCCCACCCACCAAACCAAGUCCAACUCGGUUUGGGGGGUGGGAGCCUUCCCCCUUGGACUCGGCCGACCCCCUUGGGGCUCCUUGAGCCCCAAGGCAAGGUCCCCUCCCUCCCACCUAUAUAUACGGAGGUUUUAGGGCUGAUUUGAGACGAUUUUUCCACGGCAACCCGACCACAUACCUCCACGGUUUUUCCUCUAGAACGCGUUUCUGCGGAGCUCGGGCGGAGCCCUGCUGAGACAAGGUCAUCACCAACCUCCGGAGCGCCGUCACGCUGCCGGAGAACUCUUCUACCUCUCCGUCUCUCUUGCUGGAUCAAGAAGGCCGAGAUCAUCGUCGAGCUGUACGUGUGCUGAACGCGGAGGUGCCGUCCGUUCGGUACUAGAUCGUGGGAUUGAUCACGGGAUUGUUCGCGGGGCGGAUCGAGGGACAUGAGGACGUUCCACUACAUCAACCACGUUCACUAAUGCUUCUGCUGUACAGUCUACAAGGGUACGUAGAUCACUCAUCCCCUCUCGUAGAUGGACAUCACCAUGAUAGGUCUUCGUGCGCGUAGGAAAUUUUUUGUUUCCCAUGCGAUGUUCCCCAACAGUGGCAUCAUGAGCUAGGUUCAUGCGUAGAUGUCUUCUCGAGUAGAACACAAAAGUUUUUGUGGGCGGUGAUGUGCGUUUUUCUGCCCUCCUUAGUCUUUUCUUGAUUCCGCGGUAUUGUUGGAUUGAAGCGGCUUGGACCGACAUUACUCGUACGCUUACGAGAGACUGGUUUCAUCGCUACGAGUAACCCCGUUGCUCAAAGAUGACUCGCAAGUGUCGGUUUCUCCAACUUUAGUUGAAUCGGAUUUGACCGAGGAGGUCCUUGGAUGAGGUUAAAUAGCAACUCAUAUAUCUCCGUUGUGGUGUUUGCAUAAGUAAGAUGCGAUCCUACUAGAUACCCAUGGUCACCACGUAAAACAUGCAACAACAAAAUUAGAGGACGUCUAACUUGUUUUUGCAGGGUAUGCUUGUGAUGUGAUAUGGCCAACGAUGUGAUGUGAUAUAUUGGAUGUAUGAGAUGAUCAUGUUGUAAUAGAAAAUAUCGACUUGCAUGUCGAUGGUACGGCAACCAGCAGGAGCCAUAGGGUUGUCUUUAUACUAACGUUUGUGCUUGCAGAUGCGUUUACUAUUUUGCUAGGAUGUAGCUUUAGUAGUUAUAGCAUGAGUAGCACGACAACCCCGAUGGCAACACGUUGAUGGAGAUCAUGGUGUGGCGCCGAUGACAAGAAGAUCGUGCCGGUGCUUUGGUGAUGGAGAUCAAGAAGCACGUGAUGAUGGCCAUAUCAUGUCACUUAUGAAUUGCAUGUGAUGUUAAUCCUUUUAUGCACCUUAUUUUGCUUAGAACGACGGUAGCAUUAUGAGGUGAUCUCUCACUAAAAUUUCAGGACGAAAUUGUGUUCUCCCCGACUGUGCACCGUUGCUACAGUUCGUCGUUUCGAGACACCACGUGAUGAUCGGGUAUGAUAGACUCAACGUUCACAUACAACGGGUGCAAAACAGUUGCGCACGCGGAACACUCGGGUUAAGCUUGACGAGCCUAGCAUGUGCAGACAUGGCCUCGGAACACAUGAGACCGAAAGGUCGAUCAUGAAUCAUAUAGAUGAUAUGAUUAGCAUAGGGAUGCUUACCACUGAAACUAUACUCAACUCACGUGAUGAUCGGACUUGAGCUAGUGUAAGUGGAUCAUGAACCACUCAAAUGACUAAGAGAGAUGUACUUUUUGAGUGGGAGUUUAGCGUAUAAUUUUGAUUAAAGUUAAACUCUAAUUAUCUUGAACAUAGUCUAAGUCCACUUUGAAUAUAUUUGUGUUGUAGAUCAUGGCUCACGCGACAGUCACCCUGAAUUUUAAUACGUUCCUAGAGAAAGCUAAGUUGAAAGAUGAUGGAAGCAACUUUGUAGACUAGGCUCGUAAUCUUAAGCUAAUCUUACAAGCCGGGAAGAAGGAUUAUGUCCUUAAUGCUGCGCUAGGAGAUGAACCACCCGCUACGGCUGAUCAGGAUGUUAAGAACGCUUGGUUAGCACGUAAGGAGGACUACUCAAUAGUUCAAUGUGCAGUCUUGUAUGGCUUAGAACCGGGACUUCAACGUCGCUUUGAGCGUCAUGGAGCAUUUGAGAUGUUCCAGGAGUUGAAGUUUAUCUUUCAGAAGAACGCCUGGAUCGAGAGGUAUGAGACCUCCGAUAAAUUCUAUGCUUGCAAGAUGGAGGAAAACUCAUCUGUCAGUGAACAUGUGCUCAAAAUGUCUGGGUACUCAAACCGUCUAGCUGAGCUGGGGAUUGAACUCCCGCAAGAGGCUAUCACUGACAGAAUCCUUCAAUCACUGCCGCCAAGCUAUAAAGGCUUUGUGUUGAACUACAACAUGCAAGGGAUGAACAAGUCUCCCGGCGAGUUGUUUGCGAUGCUGAAAGUCGCAGAGUCUGAACUCCGUAAAGAGCAUCAAGUGUUGAUGGUGAAUAAGACCACUAGUUUCAAGAGAAACGACAAAGGCAAGAAGGGUAAUUCAAAGAAGAGCGGCAAGCCUGUUGCCAAUCCGAUGAAGAAACCCAAAGCUGGACCUAAGCCUGAAACGGAGUGUUACUAUUGCAAGGGUAUGGGUCACUGGAAGCGCAAUUGCCCCAAGUAUCUGGCAGAUAAGAAGGUGGCCAAAGAAAAAUCAGGUAUAUUUGAUAUACAUGUUAUUGAUUUGUACUUAACCGGCUCUCGUAGUAGUGCCUGGGUAUUCGAUACCGGUUCUGUUGCUCAUAUUUGCAACUCGAAACAGGAACUGCUGAAUAGACGAAGGCUGGCGAAAGAUGAAGUGACGAUGCGCGUAGGAAAUGGUUCCAAAGUUGAUGCAAUCGCCAUCGGCACAGUUUCACUUCAGUUACCAUCAGGAUUAGUGAUGAACUUAAAUCAUUGUUAUUUAGUGCCUGCGUUGAGCAUGAACAUUAUAUCUGGAUCUUGUUUAUUGCGAGACGGUUACUCUUUUAAGUCAGAGAAUAAUGGUUGUUCUAUUUCUAUGAGUAACAUCUUUUAUGGUCAUGCACCUAAUGUGAGAGGAUUGUUCAUAUUGAAUCUUGAUAGCGAUACGCAUAUACAUAACAUUGAGACCAAAAGAGUUAGAGUUAACAAUGAUAGCGCCAUAUUUUUGUGGCACUGCCGCUUAGGUCAUAUUGGUGUAAAGCGCAUGAAGAAACUCCAUGCUGAUGGACUUUUGGAGUCACUUGACUGUGAUUCACUUGACACGUGCGAACCAUGCCUCAUGGGCAAGAUGACUAAGACUCCGUUCUCCGGAACAAUGGAGCGUGCAAGUGACUUGUUGGAAAUCAUACAUACCGAUGUGUGUGGUCCGAUGAGCGUGGAGGCACGCGGCGGAUAUCGUUAUUUUCUCACCUUCACUGACGAUUUGAGUAGAUAUGGUUAUGUAUACUUGAUGAAGCACAAGUCUGAAACAUUUGAAAAGUUCAAGCAAUUUCAGAGUGAAGUUGAAAAUCAUCGUAACAAGAAGAUCAAAUUCCUACGGUCUGAUCAUGGGGGUGAAUAUCUGAGUUUCGAGUUUGGUGCUCACUUAAGACAAUGUGGAAUUGUUUCAUAGUUAACACCGCCUGGAACACCACAGCGUAAUGGUGUGUCCGAACGUCGUAAUCGUACUUUAUUAGAGAUGGUGCGAUCUAUGAUGUCUCUUACCGAUUUGCCGUUAUCGUUUUGGGGUUAUGCAUUAGAAACAGCUGCAUUCACUUUAAAUAGGGCACCAACAAAAUCCGUUGAGACGACACCAUACGAACUGUGGUAUGGCAAAAGGCCAAAGUUGUCGUUUCUUAAAGUUUGGGGAUGUGAUGCUUAUGUCAAAAAGCUUCAGCCUGAAAAGCUGGAACCCAAAGCGGAAAAGUGCGUCUUCAUAGGUUACCCAAAAGAGACAGUUGGGUUCACCUUCUAUCUCAAAUCCGAGGGCAAAGUGUUUGUUGCUAAAAAACGGAGCUUUUCUCGAGAAGGAGUUUCUCUCGAGAGAAUUGAGUGGGAGGAAGAUAGAACUUUACGAGGUUGUCGAACCUCUCAUCCCUCUAGAUGGUGGCGCAGGGCAAGGGGAAACCUCUGUCGUUGCAACACCGGUUGAGGAGGAAGUUAAUGAUGAUGAUCAUGAAACUCCGGUUCAAAUUUCUAUCGAACCACGCAGGUCGACGAAACCACGUGCUGCUCCAGAGUGGUACGGUAAUCCCGUCUUAUCGAUCAUGUUGUUGGACAACAAUGAACCUGCAAAUUAUGAAGAAGCAAUGGUGGGCCCAGAUUCCAACAAAUGGCUAGAAGCCAUGAAGUCCGAGAUAGGAUCCAUGUAUGAGAACAAAGUGUGGACUUUGGAGGUACUGCCUGAAGGCCGCAAGGCUAUUCAGAACAAAUGGAUUUUUAAGAGGAAGAUGGACGCUAACGGCAAUGUAACCGUUUAUAAAGCUCGACUUGUGGCAAAGGGUUUUUUCACAAGUUCAAGGAGUUGACUACGAUGAGACUUUCUCACCCGUAGCGAUGCUUAAGUCCGUCAGAAUCAUGUUAGCAAUAGCUGCAUUUUUCGAUUAUGAAAUCUGGCAGAUGGAUGUCAAAACGGCGUUCCUUAACGGUUUCCUUAAGGAAGAAUUGUAUAUGAUGCAACCCGAAGGUUUUGUCGAUCCUAAGAAUGCUAACAAGGUGUGCAAGCUCCAGCGAUCCAUUUAUGGACUGGUGCAAGCAUCUCGGAGUUGGAACAAACGCUUUGAUGAGGUGAUCAAAGCAUUUGGGUUUAUACAAGUGGUUGGAGAAUCUUGUAUUUACAAGAAAGUGAGUGGGAGCUCUGUGGCGUUUCUGAUAUUAUAUGUGGAUGACAUAUUGCUGAUUGGAAACAACGUAGAGUUUUUGGAGAGCAUAAAGGAUUACUUGAAUAAAAGUUUCUCUAUGAAGGACCUAGGAGAAGCUGCUUACAUUCUAGGCAUUAAGAUCUAUAGGGAUAGAUCAAAACGCCUGAUAGGACUUUCACAAAGCACAUACCUUGAUAAAGUUUUGAAGAGGUUCAAAAUGGAACAGUCCAAGAAAGGGUUCUUGCCAGUUUUACAAGGUACGAGAUUGAGUAAGACUCAGUGCCCAGCAACUGAUGAAGAUAGAGAGCAUAUGCGCUCCGUGCCCUAUGCUUCAGCCAUAGGUUCUAUCAUGUAUGCAAUGCUGUGCACUAGACCGGAUGUUAGCCUGGCCAUAAGUAUGGCAGGUAGGUUCUAGAGUAAUCCAGGAGUGGAUCACUGGACAGCGGUCAAGAAUAUCCUGAAGUACCUGAAAAGGACUAAGGAGAUGUUUCUCGUGUAUGGAGGUGACGAAGAGCUCGCCGUAAAAGGUUACGUCGAUGCAAGCUUUGACACAGAUCCGGACGACUCUAAGUCGCAAACCGGAUACGUAUUUAUUCUUAAUGGGGGUGCGGUAAGCUGGUGCAGUUCCAAGCAAAGCGUUGUAGCAGAUUCUACAUGUGAAGCGGAGUACAUGGCUGCCUCGGAGGCGGCUAAGGAGGGUGUCUGGAUGAAGUAGUUCGUGACGGAUCUUGGAGUGGUGCCAAGCGCACUGAAUCCAAUAACCUUGUUCUGUGACAACACGGGUGCCAUUGCCUUAGCAAAGGAACCACGAUUUCACAAGAAGUCCAGACACAUCAAACGACGCUUCAACCUCAUCCGCGACUACGUCGAAGGAGAGGACGUGAAUAUAUGCAAAGUGCACACGGAUCUGAAUGUAGCAGACCCACUGACUAAACCUCUUCCACGGCCAAAGCAUGAUCAACACCAGAACUGUAUGGGUGUUAGAUUUAUUACAAUGUAAUUCGCAUGAUGAUGUGAGGGCUAGAUUAUUGACUCUAGUGCAAGUGGGAGACUGUUGGAAUUAUGCCCUAGAGGCAAUAAUAAAUAUAGUUAUUAUUAUAAUUCCUGUAUCAAGAUAAUCGUUUAUUAUCCAUGCUAUAAUUGUAUUGAAUGAAGACUCAUUUACAUGUGUGGAUACAUAGACAAAACACCGUCCCUAGCAAGCCUCUAGUUGGCUAGCCAGUUGAUCAAAGAUAGUCAGUGUCUUCUGAUUAUGAACAAGGUGUUGUUGCUUGAUAACUGGAUCAUGUCAUUAGGAGAAUCACGUGAUGGACUAGACCCAAACUAAUAGACGUAGCAUGUUGAUCGUGUCAUUUUGUUGCUACUGUUUUCUGCGUGUCAAGUAUUUAUUCCUAUGACCAUGAGAUCAUAUAACUCACUGACACCGGAGGAAUGCUUUGUGUGUAUCAAACUACGCAACGUAACUGGGUGACUAUAAAGAUGCUCUACAGGUGUCUCCGAAGGUGUUAGUUGAGUUAGUAUGGAUCAAGACUGGGAUUUGUCACUCCGUGUGACGGAGAGGUAUCUCGGGGCCCAGUCGGUAAUACAACAUCACACACAAGCCUUGCAAGCAAUGUGACUUCGUGUAAGUUGCGGGAUCUUGUAUUACGGAACGAGUAAAGAGACUUGCCGGUAAACGAGAUUGAAAUAGGUAUGCGGAUACUGACGAUCGAAUCUCGGGCAAGUGACAUACCGAAGGACAAAGGGAAUGACAUACGGGAUUAUAUGAAUCCUUGGCACUGAGGUUCAAACGAUAAGAUCUUCGUAGAAUAUGUAGGAUCCAAUAUGGGCAUCCAGGUCCCGCUAUUGGAUAUUGACCGAGGAGUCUCUCGGGUCAUGUCUACAUAGUUCUCGAACCCGCAGGGUCUGCACACUUAAGGUUCGACGCUAUCUUAUACGGCUAUCNNNNNNNNNNNNNNNNNNNNNNNNNNNNNNNNNNNNNNNNNNNNNNNNNNNNNNNNNNNNNNNNNNNNNNNNNNNNNNNNNNNNNNNNNNNNNNNNNNNNUUAAAAGAAUAUAUAUGUAAAAAAAAGGGAAAGUAUUAAAGAAAUAAUAAUGAUAAAAGAAAGAAAAGAAAACUGAAAGAAAGGAUUAAUAAAAAGAAAAGGGAAAAGGUAAAACAAAAUAAAAACAAAUCAAAAAAAAAGCAACCCACCCCCCCUGGCCCAACUGGGCUCAAGGCCCAGCCGGCCCCCACCUCCAUCCCGCAACCCUAAUCCCCCUGGGAGCCGCCGCCUCCUCCCCUCGCUACUCCCUCCCUUUCCCACGCCGCCGCCAGCCCCCCCCCACCGACCGGGCCCCACUUCCCCACGUCCCGUGACUCCCUCCCGUAACUCCCUCCCUCCCGUGACUCUAGGUCCCCCUCCACGCCAGAUUCCCACCUCCCGUGGCUCCCUCCCCACGAGAGCCCCAUCCCACCCCGUCGCCCCCCUCCUCUCCACCUCGCCUCCCCUCCCAGAUCCCACCCCGCCGGCCUUCUCCCUUCACCGCCCCCUCCCCGGCGGCCCCUCAUCCCCCUCACCCCCCGGCGGGCCCUCCCCUGCUCCCGCCGGCGAGCUUCUCCACCACGCCGGCGAGCCGCCCCCCCACGGCUCCUCUCCUCCCCCCGGCGGCCCCGCCCCUCACUGCCUCCUCGCCUCCCCCCGCCGGCCUCCUUCCCCUCGGCCACCUCCUUCCACGGCGAGCCCCGGCCGCCCCUCGGCCUCCUCCUCCCCGCGGACAGCCCCGGCCUCCCGUCGGCCAUCUCCCGCUCGGUCCGGGAGGGACCGGGCAGGGAGACGUCAUCAUCUCGCCGGGUCCGACCGGCUCCCCCUCGUCGGCACAUCACCACCAUCGGCACCGUCACCGCCUCCACGUCCGUCUCCACCGUCAACUACGUGCGAACUCCGGCUUCACCGGGCCGUCACGUCACCGUCGGUGAGCCCCUCCUCGGGCUCCUCCCACCGUGUCGAUCUCCUCGCCGUCCCGGUUCCGUUCCGGCAAACGGGGCCUCGAUCCGUCGACGGUGGACUCCGGUAGGAGGGAUUAAAGUUUAGGUUCUUCUAGGUGGUGUUAGAGAAAGUUCUUCUCUGUCUCUCUGUUAACAGAGAGAGAUGAGUGUUGAGAAAGAAAAAUAAAAAGAAUAAAUGAUGUAUUAAAUGCGUAUGUAUGUNNNNNNNNNNNNNNNNNNNNNNNNNNNNNNNNNNNNNNNNNNNNNNNNNNNNNNNNNNNNNNNNNNNNNNNNNNNNNNNNNNNNNNNNNNNNNNNNNNNNAUAGCAAAUCAAAAUACCGAACGAAUACCAAAUUCACAUGACUAUUAUCAACAUGACUUAUCCCAUGUCCUCAGGAACAAAAGUAACUAGUCACAAAGCAUAAUCAUAAUCAUGAUCAGAGGUGUAAUGAGUAGCAUCAAGGAUCUGAACAUAAACUCUUCCACCAAGUAAUCCAACUAGCAUCAACUACAAAGAGUAAUCAACACUACUAGCAACCUUACAAGUACCAAUCGGAGUCGCGAGAUGGAGACUGGUUACAAGAGAUGAACUAGGGUUUGGAGAGGAGAUGGAGCUGAUGAAGAUGUUGAUGGAGAUGACUCCCCUCCGACGAGAGGUGUGUUGGUGAUGAUGAUGGCGAUGAUUUUCCCCCUCCGGGAGGGAAGUUUCCCCGGCAGGAUCUUUCGCCACGGGGGUAGGUGGCGGCUACCAGGCUUGUGGGCCCCUGGUAGCUCCCUUCUCGCACUUCUUUCGCCCAGUAUUUUUUAUGUAUUCCCAAAAAAUUCCUCGUUGAUUUUCAGGGCAUUUGGAGUUGCGCAGAAUAGAGGACUCAGACUUGCUCCUUUUCUAGUCCAGAAUUCCAGCUGCCGGUAUUCUCCCUCUUCAAAUAAACCUUGCAAAAUAAGAGAGAAAAGGCAUAAGUAUGGUACCACAAAGUAAUAUAUUAGACCAUAAAGCGAUAAAUAUCAACAUGAAAGCAUGAUGCAAAAUGGACGUAUCAACUCCCCCAAGCUUAGACCUCGCUUCUCCUCAAGCGAAAACCAAGAUCCAUAAAAAUGUCCACAUGUUUAGGGAUGAAGGUGUCGACAAAACAUAAUACGGACAUGAGGGAAUCAUGAUCACACAUAGAACAGCAAUACAUCAUAAAGAUUCUUAUGGGAAAGUAACAAUUCCUUCACAAAGCAAAGUAUGAAGAAAAAACCUUACCGAGAAGUAGCCAACAACAGUCCAUAGUCAUUGAAGCAGUUGCAAUUUAUCAUAACAUCAGAACGAGUCAAAUAAGAGCUUGUAAAGCAACCCCACAUACUCAAUCAUCUCUUUUGUUUUCCACAAUUGUUACAACUCACAUGGUACUCAUGGUAUCAAAGUUUCAGCUGGACACAGAGAAAGAUAGGGUCUUAUAGUUUUGCCUCCCAACUAUUUACCUCAAGGGUAAAGUCAACAAUAAUAAAGCAUAAGUACUCAUCUCCAAGUUGAUAUAUGAAUAUAGAUCUUUCCCUAGCUUGUGAUGGUAGCCAAGACAAAGGCAAACUAAGGAAUUGGUGAAGAUCACCAUGACUCUUUCAAGGGAAAAAGUAAAGGUACAAGAUAGGCCCUUCGCAGAGGGAAGCACAGGUUGUCAUGCGCUUUUGAGGUUUGGAUGCGUGUCCUCUUAGUGCGGAGGAACGUCACUUUAUAUUGCCUCCUGUGAUAAAGAACUUUAUUAUGCAGUCUGUCGCUUUUAUGUCUUCCUCAUCACAGGUUCGUACAAAUCUUAUUUUCCACACACUAAUAGAUCAUACAUAUUAGAGAGCAAUUUUUAUUGCUUGCACCGAUGACAACUUACUUGAGGGAUCUUAUUCAAUCCAUAGGUAGGUAUGGUGGACUCUCAUGGCAAAACUGGGUUGAAGGUUUAUGGAUGCACAAGUAGUAUCUCUACUUGGUGUGGGAGUUUUGGCUAAUAUGAGGUGGAAGCAAUCGUCACAUGCUAAGGGAUCUCUAGACAUAUAACAUUGUUUGGAACCAAGCAAACACAAUUCAUUAUGUUGUCUUCCUUGUCCAGCAUCUACUUCUAAGCAUGUAAUAGUUUGGGGAGUGCUCACAAUUAUAGAAAGUGUCUAAGAUGAUAUAUUUAUAUGUGAGCCUCUCUUUCCUUAUUACUUCUUAUUAAUUGCAACAAUGACUGGGGUCUAUGUUGGUCUAUUCUCAACAAGUUUCAAUCAUCAUACUUGUUAUAUGUGAAGCUAUAACUUUCCAUAAGAUCAUCUCAUGAUCUUUCAUGCUAUCGUUCUUUUAAUACUUUUGAUCACGACACAAAACAAAGCCCUUGACUAAGAUACUCUUUAUUAUAUAGCUCGCAAGCUCGAAUACAUCGGGGGAGACACAAAGCAAAAGACUCAAACUACACACUAAAGACUUAUUCCACUAAGAGAAGAAAUCAAAACUGAAAAGGAAAGAACUAAAACAAAGGUAAAAGCAAAAGAUAUAAAGGUGAUACGAUACGAGGGAAACUCCCCCAAGCUUGGCAAAAGCCAAGGGGAUUGCCCAUACCAAUUCUUAGUUGUCUUCCUUUGGUGGUGAUGGUGGUGGUGGUGUUGAAGUAGUCUAAUCCUCCGUCUUCCAAGGCAUAGGUGCUCCAUCAUGGGUGGAUGAACGAGUCGCCGGAAUCCUCAAAUCUUCAGCCAACCGUAUUGAUUUAAAUCUAUACUCAUACUCACAGUUUUGGUUCUGCAGGUCAUAGAUCUGGCCCUGAAGUUGAUCAACCCUGUCAUAGAGCCUGGAGAGGUGCUUCCCAAUGUCAAUGGAAUCCAUCUUGUGAUUGUUGGAGAACUCCGUGAUCAUCAUGUGGUUGGCGUUGAGUCCACGCUCCACCAUCCCUUGGCACUUGAAGACUUGUUGCUCCAUUGCUGUGAGCCUCGUAUCCAUGCUUCCGGUCUUCUUCGGCCCCUCAACAUCACGGAUGUGCAACAUCCCUUCACUCAUCUUGAUAGAUUGAGGGUGUUUUAGCACUUCCGUGCGGUAGGGAUUGAUGACCUUCUCAAAGAUCUUGUCCUUAGGAGCUUUUGAGGAAGUCAUGACGAUCUAGAUCUCCGACAGAAACAGGCUCGAAACGAAAACAGAGGAAAACUGCAUGAUAUGGAGAACAAAACCCUCGGGAGUAUAUAUAAUGGUUUUUUCUGGACUAGAAGGAGUGCUCCGCAAGAAAACAGAGUCCGGGAGGCACACGAGGUGCCCACAAGCCCUGUAGCCGCCGCCAGGGGGUAGGUGGCGGCUACCAAGCUUGUGGCCGCCUCGUUCGCCCUCCGGACUGCUUUUUACUUCUCUAAUUUUCCAAAAAUUCCAAAACGUAAGAAAUUUCCUAUUGGAAAAGUAUCGGAGUCCAAUUUCUUGCCGACACAGAUACAUCUUCGUUUUCAAGGUCUGAAACAGGCUGAUAAACAUCCCUUAUGUACUCCUCUGGAGUUAUGACAUUGAUGAUAUUGGUCUCAACAUUUAUGGGAGUACCAGAGAUGUAAUGCUUGAUUCUUUCCCCAUUUACCACUCUAGGAAAAUUUCCUUCCGUGUUAUUCAUUCUAAUGGCACCGGAACGAUAUACUUCCUCGACAACAUAGGGACCUUCCCAUUUAGAGAGAAGCUUGCCUGCAAAGAAUCUCAAACGAGAAUUGUAUAGCAAGACAUAAUCACCUACAUUGAACUCUCGUUUCUGUAUUCGUUUGUCGUGCCAUCUCUUAACCUUUUCUGUGAACAACCUGGCAUUCUCAUAUGUCUGGGCUCUCCAUUCAUCUAACGAGCUGAUAUCAAACAACUGCUUCUCACCGGCAAGUUUGAAAUCAAAGUUGAGCUCUUUGAUUGCCCAAUAAGCUUUGUCUUCCAGCUCAAGAGGAAAAUGACAGGCCUUACCGUAAACCAUUUUAUACGGUGACAUGCCCAUGGGAUUCUUAUAAGCAGUCCUAUAAGCCCAUAGUGCAUCGUCAAGUUUGCUAGACCAGUUCUUUCGAGAUCUAUUGACGGUCUUUUGUAGGAUCAAAUUGAUCUCCCUAUUACUCAACUCCACUUGACCACUAGACUAAGGAUGAUAAGGAGAUGCAACUCUAUGGUUGACAUCAUACUUAACUAGCAUCUUACGGAAAACACCAUGAAUGAAGUGUGAACCGCCAUCAGUCAUCGGGUAUCUAGGGACUCCAAAUCUUGGGAAUAUGACUUCUUUAAGCAUCUUAAUAGAGGUGUGGUGAUCAGCAUUUUUAGUGGGGAUAGAUUCUACCCACUUAGUAACGUAAUCCACGGCAACUAAGAUGUGAGUGUAUCCAUUGGAACUCGGGAAGGGUCCCAUAUAAUCAAAGCCCAGACAUCAAAUUGUUCAAUGACAAGUGAAUAGUUCAUAGGCAUUUCCUGACGCUUACUGAUGUUCCCUAUCCUUUGGCAUUCGUCACAAGACAAGACAAACUUACGGGCAUCCCUGAAGAGAGUGGGCCAAUAGAAACCUGAUUGCAAUACCUUAUGGGCAGUUCUAUCUCCACCAUGGUGUCCUCCGUAGGCUUCGGAAUGACACUUCUGCAGGAUCUGUCCCUGUUCAUGUUCAGGCACACAACGUCUAAUAACACCAUCUACUCCUUCCUUAUAAAGGUGAGGAUCAUCCCAAAAGUAGUGUCUCAAAUCAAAGAAGAAUUUCUUCUUUUGCUGAUAGGUGAAACUGGGUGGUUUGUAUUUGGCUACGAUAUAGUUUGCAUAAUCGGCAUACCACGAUGCACUAAGUGAAGUGCGGAUGACAUUUAAUUGCUCAUCGGGAAAGCUGUCAUCAAUAGGUAGUGGGUCAUCAAGGACAUUCUCUAGCCUAGACAAGUUAUCUGCUACAGGGUUAUCAGCACCCUUUCGGCCAACGACGUGCAAAUCAAAUUUCUAUAGCAGGGGAACCCAUCUGAUCAGCCUAGGCUUAGCGUCCUUCUUCUCCAUGAGGUACUUAAUAGCAGCAUGAUCAGAGUGAAUAGUGACUUUGGAGUCAACUAUGUAAGAUCUGAACUUUUCACAUGCAAACACGACUGCUAAAAAUUCCUUCUCCGUAGUGGCAUAGUUUCUUUGGGCACUGUCUAGAGUUUUACUAGCGUAGUGAAUGACAUUCAACUUCUUGUCAACUCUUUGUCCUAGAACAGCACCAACUGCGUAAUCACUAGCGUCACACAUGAUUUCAAAGGGCAAGUUCCAGUCAGGUGGUUGAACAAUAGGUGCGGUUAUCAAAGCCUUCUUAAGUAUUUCAAAGGCUUCCUCACAAUCCUCAUGAAAAACAAAAGGAACAUCCUUCUGCAAGAGGUUGGUAAGAGGCCUAGAAAUCUUAGAGAAGUCUUUAAUGAACCUUCUAUAGAAACCAGCAUGACCUAGGAAACUUCGUAUACCUCUGAUAUAUGUAGGGCAAGGCAUUUUCUCAAUUGCAUCAACCUUAGCCUUAUCAACUUCAAUGCCUCUUUCAGAGAUUUUGUGUCCUAAGACGAUACCUUCAUUAACCAUAAAGUGGCACUUCUCCCAAUUCAAGACGAGGUUGGUUUCUUCGCAUCUCUGUAAGACUCGAUCAAGGUUGCUGAGGCAAUCAUCAAAGGAAGACCCGUAAACGGAGAAGUCAUCCAUGAAAACCUCGAUGAUCGUUUCACAAAAGUCAGAGAAUAUAGCCAUCAUACAUCUUUGGAAGGUGGCAGGUGCAUUACAUAAGCCAAAAGGCAUACGUCUAUAGGCAAAGGUACCGAAAGGGCAGGUGAAAGUGGUUUUCUCUUGAUCAGAUUGUGCAACAGGUAUUUGCUAGAAACCUGCAUAACCGUCUAGAAAGCAGAAGUGUGUGUGUUUUGAUAGCCUUUCUAGGCUAUCNNNNNNNNNNNNNNNNNNNNNNNNNNNNNNNNNNNNNNNNNNNNNNNNNNNNNNNNNNNNNNNNNNNNNNNNNNNNNNNNNNNNNNNNNNNNNNNNNNNNGAAUUUAACUUCUCCAAGUUUGGAAGACAACCCCAUGAAAAAGAGUCGUCUGGUAGGGAUGAAAUCAUUGCUCUUGCCUCUAUUGCCGUGCCUCCUACGGAUCCUUUAGAGCAAUAUCUGCUUGAGCAUGAAAAUGAUAUGCAUAUGGAUGAAAGAGAUGAGAUAGAUAAAAUUGUUUUAGAACAAUAUCCUAUUCUCAAGAAUAAUCUGCCUGUUGAACUGGUUGGGGAUCCUCCCGCACCAAAGGGUGAUCCUGUGUUCGAGCUAAAACAAUUACCAGAUACUCUUAAGUAUGCCUACCUUGAUGAGAAGGAGAUAUAUCCUGUUAUUAUUAGUGCUCACCUCUCGAAUCACAAAGAGAAGAAGUUAUUAACAACUUUGAGGAAGCACCGUGCGGCUACUGGAUAUAGUCUUGAUGAUCUUAAGGGUAUUAGUCCCACUCUAUGUGAGCACAAGAUUAAAACCGAUCCUGAUUCUAAACCAGUUGCUGAUCAUCAAAGGAGAUUAAAUCCUAAGAUGAAAGAGGUCGUUAGAAAAGAAAUAUUAAAGCUUGCAUGCNNNNNNNNNNNNNNNNNNNNNNNNNNNNNNNNNNNNNNNNNNNNNNNNNNNNNNNNNNNNNNNNNNNNNNNNNNNNNNNNNNNNNNNNNNNNNNNNNNNNCUAUGUAGAAAUGACCGAGACAUUCUCCGAUCAAUAACCAAUAGCAGGACCUAGAUGCCCAUAUUGGCUCCUACAUAUUCUACGUAGAUAUUUAUCGGUUGAACCUCUAUGUCAAGGAUUCAGUUAAUCCUGUAUGUUGUUCCCAUUGUACAUCAGUAUGUUACUUGCCCGAGAUUCAAUCAUCGGUAUCUCCGUACCUAGUUCAAUCUCAUUACCGGCUAGUCUAUUUACUCGUUCCUAAUACAAAAUCCCGUGACUACCUCCUUAGUCACAUUGCUUGCAAGGCUUGUUGUGAUGUUGUAUUACCGAGUGGGCCCCGAGAUACCUCUCCGUCACACGGAGUGACUAAUCCCAGUCUUGAUCCAUGUCAACUCAACAAACACCCUCGGAGAUACCUGUAGAUCACCCUGGGAAUUUGGGUACCCUAACCCGCUAUUCGAACCCGAACCGAACCGAAUUACCCGAAUUGUCGGGUAAUAUGGGUAUCGGGUUAGGGUUCGGUUCUCAUUUUCUGGCUAUUCGGUUUUCGGGUUAGGGUUCAGGUUCUAGUCUGUAAAACCCGAAAUACCCAUACUAUCCGAAUUAUCCAGACCAGCCAAAUUAUUUAUGCUAUUAUUACACUUACAUGUUACCCAUACUAACUAAAAUAUCCAUACUAUCCAAAAUACCCACACUAACCGAAUUAUUCAUACCAAAAGUUGAUGUGUGCUAUGAAUAUUUUGGGUUUCUUGGGUACCCGAAUUAACCGAACCAACAUUUUGGGUAAUUUGGGUUCUGGUAAAUUUUUGACACAAAAUUGUUUGGUUUCCCGUUUUGAAUACCCGAAUUAUCCAAACCGAAAUAACCAAAAUACCCGAAUACCUUGACAAAGUUUUGAAGAAGUUCAAAAUGGAACAGUCCAAGAAAGGUUUCUUGCCUGUGUUGUAAGGUGUGAAGUUGAGUAAGACUCAAUGCCAAGUGACUGCAGAAUAUAGAGAAAAGAUGAGUGUUGUCCUCUAUGCUUCAGCCAUAGGCUCUAUCAUGUAUGCAAUGUUGUGCACAAGACGUGAUGUCAGGCUUGCCAUAAGUAUGGCGGGAAGGUUUCAAAGUGAUCCAGGAAUGGAACACUUGACAGCGGUCAAGGAUAUUCUGAAGUACGUGAAAAGGACUAAGGAAAUGUUUCUCGUGUAUGGAGGUGAUAAAGAGCUCGUCGUAAAGGGUUAUGUCGAUGCAAGCUUUGACACUGAUCCAGAUGACUCUAAGUCACAAACCGGAUACAUAUUUAUUCUCAAUGGGGGUGCGGCAAGCUGGUGCAGUUCCAGGCCAAGCGUGGUAGCUGAUUCUACGUGUGAAACAGAGUACAUAGCUGCCUCGGAGGCGGCUAAAGAAGGUGUUUGGAUGAAGGAGUUCAUGACAGAUUUAGGAGUUGUGCCAGUGCACUGGAUCCAACGACAAUAUUUUGUGACAACAUUGGUGCCAUUGAUCUAGCCAAGGAACCAAUUUUCACACGAGGACCAGACACAUAAACUGACGUUUUAAUUUCAUCCGCGAUUACAUCAAGGAGGAGGACAUAAGUAUUUGCAAAGUGCACACGAAUCUGAAUGUUGCAGACCCGUUGACUAAGCCUCUUCCACGAGCGAAACAUGAUCAACACCAGAACUGUAUGGGUGUUAGAUUCAUUAUAAUGUAAAUGACAUAAUGAUGUGAGCUAGAUUAUUGACUCUAGUGCAAGUGGGAGACUGUUGGAAAUAUGCCGUAGAGGCAAUGAUAAAAUUGUUAUUAUUAUAUUUCCUUGUUCAAGAUUAUCGUUUAUUAUCCAUGCUAGAAUUCUAUUGAUUGGAAACUCAAAUACAUGUGUGGAUACAUAGACAACACACUGUCCCUAGUAAGCGUCUAAUGGGCUAGCUCGUUUCUCAAAGAUGGUCAAGGUUUUGAUAACGGGAUCACAUCAUUAGGAGAAUGAUGUGAUGGAGAAGACCCAAACUUCUAUCNNNNNNNNNNNNNNNNNNNNNNNNNNNNNNNNNNNNNNNNNNNNNNNNNNNNNNNNNNNNNNNNNNNNNNNNNNNNNNNNNNNNNNNNNNNNNNNNNNNNGAUAGCGAUAGUUUGAUAUGUGGGUGGACCGGCGCUUGGGGUGCUUCCCUUACUUUGACAAGCAUUCCACUUAUGAUUAACCCCUCUCGCAAGCAUCCGCAACUACGAAAGAAGAAUUAAGAGAACAUCUAACCAUAGCAUUAAACUAGUGGAUACAAAUCAGCCCCUUACGAAUCAACGCAUAGACUAGGGUUUAAGCUUCUGUCACUCUAGCAACCCAUCAUCUACUUACUACUCCCCAAUGCCUUCCUCUAGGCCCAAAGAUGGUGAAGUGUUAUGUAGUCGACGUUCACAUAACACCACUAGAGGAAAAGACAACAUACAGCAUAUCAAAAUGACGAACGAAUACCAAAUUCACAUGACUAUUAUCAGCAUGACUUAUCCCAUGUCCUCAGGAACAAAAGUAACUACUCACAAGACAUAAUCAUAAUCAUGAUCAGAGGUGUAAUGAGUAGCAUCAAGGAUCUGAACAUAAACUCUUCCACCAAGGAUCCUUAAGCGGGAAGCGUUAAGAAACACAGUUGAUGUAAUCGAACGUCUUCACGAUCCAAAUCGCAAGCCGUCCCGCGAUCCAAUCAUGAUCUAGUGCGGAACGUACGACACCUCCGUGUUCAGCACACGUACAGAUCGAUGAUGAUCGCCACCUUCUUGAUCAAGCAAGAGGGGGCAGAGAGGUAGAUGAGUUCUCCGGCAGCACGACGGCGUGGUGGCCGUGGUGGUGAACUAAUCCGGCAGGGCUUCCUCGAGCUCUACCGAACUAAUCUAGACGAAGAAGACGAUCUAUGGGGAAGAGGGCAGCACGUGGCUUUUUAGGUGGUGGCUGCCCUCAAAACCUCCACUAUAUAUAGGAGGAAGAGGUAGGUGGGCUGCCUUGGCCCCUCCUCCAAGGAGGAGAGGUUCCGUCGAACCAAGGGGGGAGUCCUCCUACCAUAAGGAAGGUGGACUCCCUUGGGAGGACUCCUCCUCCACCUCCUCUCUUGGCCCUUGCGCAUGGGCGUCUUGGUGCUGGCCGCCCAAGCCCACGAGGGGCUGGUGCGCCACCUCGUAAGCCCAUGUGCCCCACCCUCGGGUUGGGUGGCCCCUCCCGGUGCACUACCGGAAAUGCCCGAAAUUUUUCCAGAAUCCAAAUACCACUUUUCUAUAUAUCAAUCUUUACCUCUGGACCAUUCCGGAGCUCCUCAUGAUGUCGCAGUUUUCAUCCGAGACUCCGAACAACUUUUGGUCACCAACAUACAUAACUCAAUAAUAUCGAAACGUGUGCAGACUCUGCGGGUUCGAGAACUAUGUAGAAAUGACCGAGACAUUCUCCGAUCAAUAACCAAUAGCAGGACCUAGAUGCCCAUAUUGGCUCCUACAUAUUCUACGUAGAUAUUUAUCGGUUGAACCUCUAUGUCAAGGAUUCAGUUAAUCCUGUAUGUUGUUCCCAUUGUACAUCAGUAUGUUACUUGCCCGAGAUUCAAUCAUCGGUAUCUCCGUACCUAGUUCAAUCUCAUUACCGGCUAGUCUCUAUCNNNNNNNNNNNNNNNNNNNNNNNNNNNNNNNNNNNNNNNNNNNNNNNNNNNNNNNNNNNNNNNNNNNNNNNNNNNNNNNNNNNNNNNNNNNNNNNNNNNNAACUAUGUAGAAAUGACCGAGACAUUCUCCGAUCAAUAACCAAUAGCAGGACCUAGAUGCCCAUAUUGGCUCCUACAUAUUCUACGUAGAUAUUUAUCGGUUGAACCUCUAUGUCAAGGAUUCAGUUAAUCCUGUAUGUUGUUCCCAUUGUACAUCAGUAUGUUACUUGCCCGAGAUUCAAUCAUCGGUAUCUCCGUACCUAGUUCAAUCUCAUUACCGGCUAGUCUCUUUACUCGUUCCUAAUACAAAAUCCCGUGACUACCUCCUUAGUCACAUUGCUUGCAAGGCUUGUUGUGAUGUUGUAUUACCGAGUGGGCCCCAAGAUACCUCUCCGUCACACGGAGUGACUAAUCCCAGUCUUGAUCCAUGUCAACUCAACAAACACCCUCGGAGAUACCUGUAGAUCACCCUGGGCAUUUGGGUACCCUAACCCGCUAUCCGAACCCGAACCGAACCGAAUUACCCGAAUUGUCGGGUAAUAUGGGUAUCGGGUUAGGGUUCGGUUCUCAUUUUCUGGCUAUUCGGUUUUCGGGUUAGGGUUCAGGUUCUAGUCUGUAAAACCCGAAAUACCCAUACUAUCCGAAUUAUCUAGACCAGCCAAAUUAUUUAUGCUAUUAUUACACUUACAUGUUACCCAUACUAACUAAAAUAUCCAUACUAUCCAAAAUACCCACACUAACCGAAUUAUUCAUACCAAAAGUUGAUGUGUGCUAUGAAUAUUUUGGGUUUCUUGGGUACCCGAAUUAACCGAACCAACAUUUUGGGUAAUUUGGGUUCUGGUAAAUUUUUGACACAAAAUUGUUUGGUUUCCCGUUUUGAAUACCCGAAUUAUCCAAACCGAAAUAACCAAAAUACCCGAAUGCCCAAGCUGACCUAUAGAGCACCUUUAUAGUCACCAAGUUACGUUGCGACGUUUGAUACACACAAGGUACUCCUCCGGUGUUAGUGAGUUACACGAUCUCAUGGUCAUAGGAACAUAUACUUGACAUGCAGAAAACAGUAGCAAUAAACUGACACGAUCACAUGCUACAUUCAUAGUUUGGGUCUUCUCCAUCACAUCAUUCUCCUAAUGAUGUGAUCCCGUUAUCAAAACCUUGACCAUCUUUGAGAAACGAGCUAGCCCAUUAGACGCUUACUAGGGACAGUGUGUUGUCUAUGUAUCCACACAUGUAUUUGAGUUUCCAAUCAAUAGAAUUCUAGCAUGGAUAAUAAACGAUAAUCUUGAACAAGGAAAUAUAAUAAUAACAAUUUUAUCAUUGCCUCUACGGNNNNNNNNNNNNNNNNNNNNNNNNNNNNNNNNNNNNNNNNNNNNNNNNNNNNNNNNNNNNNNNNNNNNNNNNNNNNNNNNNNNNNNNNNNNNNNNNNNNNCCGGUAAUGAGAUUGAACUAGGUACGGAGAUACCGAUGAUUGAAUCUCGGGCAAGUAACAUACUGAUGUACAAUGGGAACAACAUACAGGAUUAACUGAAUCCUUGACAUAGAGGUUCAACCGAUAAAUAUCUACGUAGAAUAUGUAGGAGCCAAUAUGGGCAUCUAGGUCCUGCUAUUGGUUAUUGAUCGGAGAAUGUCUCGGUCAUUUCUACAUAGUUCUCGAACCCGUAGAGUCUGCACACGUUUCGAUAUUAUUGAGUUAUGUAUGUUGGUGACCGAAAGUUGUUCGGAGUCUCGGAUGAAAUCCGCGACAUCAUGAGGAGCUCCGGAAUGGUCCAGAGGUAAAGAUUGAUAUAUAGAAAAGUGGUAUUUGGAUUCUGGAAAAAUUUCGGGCAUUUCCGGUAGUGCACCGGGAGGGGCCACCCAACCCGGGGGGGGGGGGGCACAUGGGCUUACGAGGUGGCGCACCAGCCCCUCGUGGGCUUGGGUGGCCAGCACCAAGACGCCCAUGCGCAAGGGCCAAGAGAGGAGGUGGAGGAGGAGUCCUCCCAAGGGAGUCCACCUUCCUUAUGGUAGGAGGACUCCCCCCUUGGUUCGACGGAACCUCUCCUGCUUGGAGGAGGGGCCAAGGCAGCCCACCUACCUCUUCCUCCUAUAUAUAGUGGAGGUUUUGAGGGCAGCCACCACCUAAAAAGCCACGUGCUGCCCUCUUCCCCAUAGAUCGUCUUCUUCGUCUAGAUUAGUUCGGUAGAGCUCGAGGAAGCCCUGCCGGAUUAGUUCACCACCACGGCCACCACGCCGUCGUGCUGCCGGAGAACUCAUCUACCUCUCUGCCCCCUCUUGNNNNNNNNNNNNNNNNNNNNNNNNNNNNNNNNNNNNNNNNNNNNNNNNNNNNNNNNNNNNNNNNNNNNNNNNNNNNNNNNNNNNNNNNNNNNNNNNNNNNCAUCAAAGGAGAUUAAAUCCUAAGAUGAAAGAGGUCGUUAGAAAAGAAAUAUUAAAGCUUCUGGAAGCAAGAAUCAUUUAUCCUGUUGCUCAUAGUGAUUGGGUAAGUCGAGUACAUUGCGUACCUAAGAAGGGAGGUAUCACCGUCGUUCCUAAUGAUAAGGAUGAACUAAUCCCACAAAGGAUUAUUACCGGCUAUAGAAUGGUGAUAGAAUUCCGGAAACUGAACAAGGCAACCAGGAAAGAUCAUUAUCCUUUGCCGUAAUCGACCAAAUGCUAGAAAGGCUAUCAAAACACACACACUUCUGCUUUCUAGACGGUUAUGCAGGUUUCUAGCAAAUACCUGUUGCACAAUCUGAUCAAGAGAAAACCACUUUCACCUGCCCUUUCGGUACCUUUGCCUAUAGACGUAUGCCUUUUGGCUUAUGUAAUGCACCUGCCACCUUCCAAAGAUGUAUGAUGGCUAUAUUCUCUGACUUUUGUGAAACGAUCAUCGAGGUUUUNNNNNNNNNNNNNNNNNNNNNNNNNNNNNNNNNNNNNNNNNNNNNNNNNNNNNNNNNNNNNNNNNNNNNNNNNNNNNNNNNNNNNNNNNNNNNNNNNNNNGAUAGMCGAUCGAAUCUCGGGCAAGUGACAUACCGAAGGACAAAGGGAAUGACAUACGGGAUUAUAUGAAUCCUUGGCACUGAGGUUCAAACGAUAAGAUCUUCGUAGAAUAUGUAGGAUCCAAUAUGGGCAUCCAGGUCCCGCUAUUGGAUAUUGACCGAGGAGUCUCUCGGGUCAUGUCUACAUAGUUCUCGAACCCGCAGGGUCUGCACACUUAAGGUUCGACGUUGUUUUAUACGUAUUUGAGUUAUAUGGUUGGUUACCGAAUGUUGUUGGGAGUCCCGGAUGAGAUCACGGAUGUCACGAGGGUUUCCGGAAUAGUCCGGAAACAAAGAUUGAUAUAUAGGAUGACCUCAUUUGAUUACCAGAAGGUUUUCGGAGUUACCGGGAAUGUACCGGGAAUGACGAAUGGGUUCCGGGAGUUCACCGGGGGGGGGGGGGGGCAACCCACCCCAGGGAAGCCCAUAGGCCUUGAGGGUGGCGCACCAGCCCUUAGUGAGCUGGUGGGACAGCCCAAAAGGGCCCUAUGCACCUAGGAAAGAAAAUCAAAGAGAAAAGAAAAAAAAGGAGGUGGGAAGGGAAGGAAGGACUCCCACCCACCAAACCAAGUCCAACUCGGUUUGGGGGGGGGGGGGGGGGCGGGGAGCCUUCCCCCUUGGACUCGGCCGACCCCCUUGGGGCUCCUUGAGCCCCAAGGCAAGGUCCCCUCCCUCCUACCAAUAUAUACAGAGGUUUUAGGGCUGAUUUGAGACGAUUUUUCCACGGCAGCCCGACCACAUACCUCCACGGUUUUUCCUCUAGAUCGCGUUUCUGCGGAGCUCGGGCGGAGCCCUGCUGAGACAAGGCCAUCACCAACCUCUGGAGCAUCGUCACGCUGCCGGAGAACUCUUCUACCUCUCCGUAUCUCUUGCUGGAUCAAGAAGGCCGAGAUCAUCGUCGAGCUGUUCGUGUGCUGAACGCGGAGGUGCCGUCCGUUCGGUACUAGAUCGUGGGACUGAUCGCGGGAUUGUUCGCGGGGCGGAUCGAGGGACGUGAGGACGUUCCACUACAUCAACCGCGUUCACUAACGCUUCUGCUGUACGGUCUACAAGGGUACGUAGAUCACUCAUCCCCUCUCGUAGAUGGACAUCACCAUGAUAGGUCUUCGUGCGCGUAGGAACUUUUUUGUUUCCCAUGCGAUGUUCCCCAACAAUUGCACCUUCGUGCAUCCGUGGUUUUCUCCCGCAAGGGUUUCCAGACGUGAUGUCAGGCUUGCAUUCCACUUAUGAUUAACCCCUCUCGCAAGCAUCCGCAACUACGAAAGAAGAAUUAAGACAACAUCUAACCAUAGCAUUAAACUAGUGGAUCCAAAUCAGCCCCUUACGAAUCAACGCAUAGACUAGGGUUUAAGCUUCUGUCACUCUAGCAACCCAUCAUCUACUUACUACUCCCCAAUGCCUUCCUCUAGGCCCAAAGAUGGUGAAGUGUUAUGUAGUCGACGUUCACAUAACACCACUAGAGGAAAAGACAACAUACAGCAUAUCAAAAUGACGAACGAAUACCAAAUUCACAUGACUAUUAUCAACAUGACUUAUCCCAUGUCCUCAGGGNNNNNNNNNNNNNNNNNNNNNNNNNNNNNNNNNNNNNNNNNNNNNNNNNNNNNNNNNNNNNNNNNNNNNNNNNNNNNNNNNNNNNNNNNNNNNNNNNNNNGAUAGCCCUUCUGCUCCUCGUUGGGUUCGACACUCUUACUUAUAUCGAAAUGACUACGAUUUAUCCCCUAUACUUGUGGGUCAUCAAGACUCUUUUCUGGCGCCGUUGCCGGGGAGCCAGGUGCCUUUGGUAAGUGGAAUUUGGUAAGGAAACAUUUAUAUAUUGUGCUGAAAUUUAUUGUCACUUGUCACUAUGGAAACUGUUCCUUUGAGGAAUUUGUUCGGGGUAUCUUCACCACGAACGGAAGCACGAGGAGUUGCUCCUCAGCCUGAGGUACCUACUGAAAAUAUAUUUUAUGAAAUUCCUUCGGGUAUGCUUAAGAAACUGCUGGCUAAUCCUUUUACAGGAGAUGGAUCAUCACAUCCAGAUUUGCAUCUAAUCUAUGUAGAUGAAGUUUGUGGUUUAUUUAAGCUUGCAGGUUUGCCUGAGGAUGAGGUAAAGAAGAAAGUCUUUCCUUAAUCUUUGAAGGAUAAGGCAUUGACAUGGUAUAGGCUAUGUGAUGAUACUGGAUCAUGGGACUACAAUCGGUUGAAAUUGGAAUUUCAUCAAAAGUUUUAUCCUAUGCAUUUAGUACAUCGUGAUCGGAAUUAUAUUUAUAACUUUUGGCCUUGUGACAGGGAAAGCAUAGCUCAAGCUUGGGGGAGGCUUAAAUCAAUGCUAUAUUCAUGCCCCAAUCAUGAGCUCUCGAGAGAAAUUAUCACUCAAAACUUUUAUGCUCGGCUUUCUCAUGAAGAUCGUACCAUGCUUGACACUUCUUGUACCGGUUCUUUUAUGAAGAAGGAUAUUGACCACAAGUGGAAUUUAUUGAAAGAAUCAAACGUAACUCUGAAGAUUGGGAGCUUGAAGAAGGUAAGGAGUCAGGUAUGAAUUUCCAGUUUGAUUUCGUUAAAUCUUUUGUUGAAACAAACACUUCUAGAGAUUUUAGCGCUAAGUAUGGACUUGGCUCUGAGAUAGUAGCUUCUUUAUGUGAAUCCUUUGCUCCUCAUCUUGAUCUUGCCAAAGAGAAGUGGUUUAAGUAUCAUCCUCAUGUAGAAGUCAACAUAGUUAAACCCAAUCUAGUUGAAGAGAAACUCAUUGCCUUUAGUGAUCCUUGUUCCUACGCUCAGAAACCACCUUACCCUGCUAGGAAAAAGGAUUAUUGUAAAGCUCCAACUGUGAUACGUAGGGGUUACAUUAGACCACUUGCACCCCCUGAAGAAAUUAGAGUUGAACCUAGUGUUUCUCUUAUCAAAGAUCUCUUAGCCGAAGACAUAGACGGGCAUGUUAUCAAAUUCUGUGAGGACUCCGCUAGAAUUGCUAAACCUCACGCGAAAGACAAAUACGGACCUGUAGUUGGCCUGCCCGUUGUUUCUGUCAAGAUAGGAGAUCACUGUUAUCAUGGUUUAUGUGAUAUGGGCGCUAGUGUUAGUGCAAUACCCCGGUCCCUAUACGAUGAAAUCAAAGAUGAGAUUGCACCUGCUGAGUUAGAACCCAUUAUGUCACUAUCAUGCUAGCUAAUAGAGACACUAUCUGCCCUGUGGGAAUUGUGCGAGAUGUAGAAGUCUUGUGUGGUAAGACGAAGUACCCUUCUGAUUUCCUCGUCCUUGCUACUACACAAGAUAGCUUUUGUCCCAUCAUAUUUGGUAGACCCUUUCUCAACAUUGUCAAUGCUCAUAUUGAUUGCAUUAAACAGACUGUCAUAGUUAGUUUUGAGGGUGUGUCUCAUGAAUUUAACUUCUCCAAGUUUGGAAGACAACCCCAUGAAAAAGAGUCGUCUGGUAGGGAUGAAAUCAUUGCUCUUGCCUCUAUUGCCGUGCCUCCUACGGAUCCUUUAGAGCAAUAUCUGCUUGAGCAUGAAAAUGAUAUGCAUAUGGAUGAAAGAGAUGAGAUAGAUAAAAUUGUUUUAGAACAAUAUCCUAUUCUCAAGAAUAAUCUGCCUGUUGAACUGGUUGGGGAUCCUCCCCCACCAAAGGGUGAUCCUGUGUUCGAGCUUAAACAGUUGCCAGAUACUCUUAAGUAUGCCUACCUUGAUGAGAAGGAGAUAUAUCCUGUUAUUAUUGCUAUCACCUCUCGAUUCACAAAGAGAAGAAGUUAUUAACAACUGCUAUCNNNNNNNNNNNNNNNNNNNNNNNNNNNNNNNNNNNNNNNNNNNNNNNNNNNNNNNNNNNNNNNNNNNNNNNNNNNNNNNNNNNNNNNNNNNNNNNNNNNNAUGGGUUGCUAGAGUGACAGAAGCUUAAACCCUAGUCUAUGCGUUGAUUCGUAAGGGGCUGAUUUGUAUCCACUAGUUUAAUGCUAUGGUUAGAUGUUCUCUUAAUUCUUCUUUCGUAGUUGCGGAUGCUUGCGAGAGGGGUUAAUCAUAAGUGGAAUGCUUGUCAAAGUAAGGGAAGCACCCCAAGCGCCGGUCCACCCACAUAUCAAACUAUCAAAGUAACGAACGUGAAUCACAUGAACAUGAUGAAACUAGCAUGACAAAAAUUCCCGUGUGUCCUCGGGAGCGCUUUUCCUCCUAUAAGACUUUGUUCAGGCUUGUCCCUUGCUACAAAAGGGAUUGGGCCACUUGCUGCACCGUUACUACUACUUGACACUUGUUACUUUUCACUUGCUACGUUUCACCUCACUACACCAUCACUUGUUACCGCUACUUUCAGUGCUUGCAGUAAUUACCUUGCUGAAAACCGUUUAUCAGAGCCUUCUGCUCCUCGUUGGGUUCGACACUCUUACUUAUAUCGAAAUGACUACGAUUUAUCCCCUAUACUUGUGGGUCAUCAAGACUCUUUUCUGGCGCCGUUGCCGGGGAGCCAGGUGCCUUUGGUAAGUGGAAUUUGGUAAGGAAACAUUUAUAUAUUGUGCUGAAAUUUAUUGUCACUUGUCACUAUGGAAACUGUUCCUUUGAGGAAUUUGUUCGGGGUAUCUUCACCACGAACGGAAGCACGAGGAGUUGCUCCNNNNNNNNNNNNNNNNNNNNNNNNNNNNNNNNNNNNNNNNNNNNNNNNNNNNNNNNNNNNNNNNNNNNNNNNNNNNNNNNNNNNNNNNNNNNNNNNNNNNGUCAGCAGGAACCUUUGAUGUGCUGAAACAAAGGAAUUCACUGUGUGUAUAGCAACAUCACAAUCUCUACAAAGUAGAGCACGGUCCUCCAGGCAGAAGAAGUAUCCAGAAGCCUCCUGCAAUUAAAAAAAAAGAUUCAGAUGAACAAAGUUAAGGAUAAAUAGCAGAAAUGACUUGCAACAGGAAUCAUAGUACAAAGAAAAUUAUGUGGGUAUAUCAUUCCAAUAACUGGGGCAUUAGUUGUGCCUUUGAGCAUGGGCUUUGCACUAUGACCCGUCAACCGAGUAUCAAAAUACAUAAUUCAGGGAGACAUGAUCCACAUCCAGGCUAUUCAGCCUGGUAUGAUAACCCAAAUAAAUAUAUAGUGCAAUACAGUUAGCCCUGUAUCUAUACAACUAUGUAAGAUUUAGAUCUAACGAACAAGUGUUUGGAACCACAAUUGGUUUACUAUUGUAGAUUAUGUCCAGCUAAGCAUGCCAGGAUUUGUUAGGCAUGUGCCUUAUCAUAACAGAUGCAAAAAAAAAAACAUUUCAAAAAGGCAUUUUUGGUAACCUAAAUAAGUAUUAUAUUUUUUAAAACUUCACCGGUGACUGCUUGUGUGAGAAACUAAGCUUGUCAUCUUACAAGCAAGGUUUGCUUCUUCUAUUGGUGAUAUAAUGGCUGCUGUUCAAUAAGACGAGAGGAAAGCUUGUCCAAUUUCACUACAAAGCCUAUUCAAGUUCAAUGGUUUCAUUUAAACUAACUGAUCUGUACUCUAUGUUACCUAGAACCUACAUUUUAAGGCUCAACAUAAAUCUUCGGAUUAAUUGGCCUGAAAUAAACAAGCCCAGAGAAGCUCUUCUAUGUUUCUAGUUCAUGUGGUCUUUUGUAUGCAACACUGUGACCAACUGAAUUUUUGGUUCUNNNNNNNNNNNNNNNNNNNNNNNNNNNNNNNNNNNNNNNNNNNNNNNNNNNNNNNNNNNNNNNNNNNNNNNNNNNNNNNNNNNNNNNNNNNNNNNNNNNNGCUUAUGGGUUAACAAACCAAGUCAAGGUGGACCACUCGAGAUAAGAACACUGCACAUGGGUUUUACUUAAGAACGCUCCUCCCUCCUCGUGGCAUCACGUGGGGCUGAGGGUGGCCAUACAAAGAAACUCUUACUCUGUUAUACGCAUAACGAUGUGCAGCAAUACCAAGCUUGAAAAAAGGGCCAUGACUCGAAUUUCGGAGUGCGGAAGGACUAGAGAGCAAUUCGAUAGUACAGAUAUGGUGGGAAAGUUUGGGAUGAUGAAAUGGAGUGGACAAUCAGUUGGUUUGCAGGGCAAUCGCAUGACAAUCUAGCGUGCGUGUAGCAGGAAAUGAAGACAGCGAGCACAAUAUGGUUGGUACUGAGAUCAGUUAACGCAUCUUAACCCUGAUCAGCACAGGAAGAAGGUACUAGCUGCCUCGGUUCUAGUUAGAUAGGAGCAAUUCAUAAUUCUUUGCCAGCAAGAGCUCGCAUCCGAAACUAACUACUGUGGCUUACCCUCAGCUACCGAAAUAAGACGGCGCCCGUCCAGGAACAGUCAGUAAGGAAUUUCACGGAUUGCGCGGCCCGUCCCCCAAUCGAGACAGGCGGGGGCGCAGGGGCGGAGGAGGGAGGGAGGGAAGGGGGUGGCGGUGCUGACCUGGCAGAUGUCGCACUUGGGCGGCGCGGCGGCGUUGGGCGCGGCGUCGGGGAGGAGCGGCACGCGCUGGUGCUUGGCGGCGAGCCUGUUGGCGGCGUGCACCUCCUCGUNNNNNNNNNNNNNNNNNNNNNNNNNNNNNNNNNNNNNNNNNNNNNNNNNNNNNNNNNNNNNNNNNNNNNNNNNNNNNNNNNNNNNNNNNNNNNNNNNNNNUCUCCCCACGCGCUGCCCCCGCAAUGGCGCCGCUGCGCCUCCGCCGCCGCAUCCUCGCUCCCGCCGCCCCCGCCGACUCCGCCCCAGGGCCCGCCGCGGCACGCGGGCGGGGGAUCCGCCGCGUCCUCUCUGAACCCCGCCGAGGUGGCCAAGUUCGCCGCCAUCGCCGAGACCUGGUGAGAUCCCUCCCUGACCUUGUGGGUGGGUGAACUCCCGUGCUUUUGUGCCGCGUGAUUGAUUAUAUAUUUUGUCAACACUUUCCAGUGAAUUGGCAUGCAUUUUUGUUCUGUAUAUAUGAACAUGCCUCUAGAUAUGUUUGAUAUCAAGGUGCCUCUACAUGUCAGGGAGUUGCACAAAAAGUACUACAGUCAGUGUAUGGGCUACUGUGAGUGGAGAAUGCCUACUUAGUUUUGCCACGAUGAACAAUGGUUACUAAAAUCAAAUCUGGCCUUUGGGGUCUUUGUACUAUAUCAUCUCUGUUCUAUGUAGAAGCAUUCAUCUGCCACUUGGCCAGUGCAACACUUAGUAUAGUCUGUAUGUUAUGGUGCUCGAAGCAAAGGGGCUGACAAGUUUUUGCUUUGCAUAUUAUUGGUUACUGAUGAUGAUGCUGUUUCUGGAAUAAAUAGGUGGGAUUCUCAAGGUCCAUUCAAGCCAUUGCAUUUGAUGAAUCCGACACGACUGUCUUUUAUCCGCUCCACACUCUGUAGACAUUUCAGGUACAUUUAACGUACCCUGCAUUUUGUUUUCUAUAGAGCAUUCUGUUGUGGUUUUUAGUUUUUUCUUUUCCCUCGAAGAGAAGACAAGUACAUCGACUGCUUAUUGUACCAUUCCCUAUUCCAUAUUGUCAUUAUUUUCCCAUUCCUUAGUUCUCAUCAUCAAGUUGCCUUUUGUUGUAUUUUGCCUAAGUUCAUCCUAAGGGAUCCACAUUUGUUCUACUUUGACUAAAGUUAGUUCUUCCAGGAGGGAUCCAUAUUCAGCUAAGCCACUCGAAGGUCUUAAAGUUAUUGAUGUUGGAUGUGGAGGUGGCAUUCUCUCAGAGGUAUAAAGGCUUUUUCAGCCAAUAAUUUUGAAGAACUAAAACCUUCUGGUGUUUAACAUACUAGAUACUAAAUGCUUUUUGAUGGUUUUUCGUCUGUGUGAAAGGGAGAAUUAAAUCAUGUAGUUCACUUGUAUAGAAAUGGAUAAUGGAUAUGCAAUAUUUGCCUUCUUACUUAUCAUAAUUUUUUCAUGCUAAGUGUCACAUUGUAGAACGUACUCGCAUUGGACUAUUAGAUGUAAAUUCAUGUUUGCAUCCAGAACUAUCUUUCAGCAUUUUGACUUGCUAGUCUCUAUAGCCUAUGAUGAAUGUCUUAAACUAUCCAUGAUGUAUUCUCCUUGCCUACAAUCUGAGCCGAGCUUAUUGAUGUGGACUUAUUGCAUUUCUAAUCUAGAUAUAUGGUAGCUAGUUGGUUUGGAAUUGUGAGUCUAUGUCUCAGAUCAACGUCUUUGUAGUGUUACAAUGCAAUUGGGACUUUAACAUGUGUUUUCUUGUUCUGUGUGAUUGAACUGACGGAUAAAAUAUUUGUUGACCUUUUGGAUCAUAUGUGUUGGAUGACAGCCUCUUGCUCGGAUGGGAGCUACAGUUACUGGCAUUGAUGCUGUUGAGAAGAAUAUAAAGAUUGCGCACAUUCAUGCUGUAUGUAUUACUCAUCUUCAUGUCAAUUAUCAUGUAGAAAUAGCUGUGAUUAUUUUCUUGGGACUUAUUUUAUGUAUAAUUUUGACGAGAAAGGUGUACUUCUAAGUUUAUUUAUUGGCUUCCUGCUGAUAACAAUGAAACAUAUAAUGCUAAUAAAUAUGAUCUCGUACAUAUUUUGCCUGAUGGUAUAGCACAUGAUCACUAUUUAUGCAGUAUUAAGCUUUUGAGGACUUAUGACUUCCAUGUUCUUUUCCUCGACAUUUACUCCUUUACUCAUGUAGACAUCAAACGCCCAUAAAAGUGAAUCGAUUGUUCAUGAGUUUACACUGCCGGAAUUGCCAGUCAGAACCAUGAUGGAUUUAUUACAUUUUUAGCCAACGAUUUUUGCUUCGUACCUUUGCAGGCAUCUGAUCCAACAACUGCUUCCAUUGAGUAUUGCUGCACAACCGCUGGUAAUCACUUUCAGGGCAUAUUCCAGUGACUGUUUAGUUAUUUAGUUCCACUAUGUGGUUAAAACAUUUGCUCUCUUGAUUGAACAUUUUUUUUCUCAGCAAUUAACCAGACUGUAAAAGAAGACCAGCAACUUCCAAAUUUAGAUAAUAUAGAUUGAAUUGAGAUAUAUAAGUAAUUUAAUUCUUCUAUUUCUUGUGGCUGAAAAUAGCAGAACUUAUGCAAAUUAUUGUUCAUAUGCAGAGGAUUUGGUAAAAGAGAACAAGCAAUUUGAUGCUGUAAUUUCUCUUGAGGUAUGAACAUUUUUGUCCCAUCUUACACAUAUGCUGUCUUCCGAAGGUGCUUGAUCAAGAAUAGAUUGCGUCCAUAGCUUAUUUAUCAUAGUAUACGCCAUCCGAGAGAUGUUUUGGUAAUUGACUGAUGCGGGCUCCCUUUUAAAACCUUUGGGGUGAUAUUGAAGAAUGCUUUAAUUAUGCAUUACAGGCAUAUAGCUUCUGCUAGAACCGUGUGUUAGGAGAGCUGCUGGCUCUAUCCACUCAAAGAAAUGAUGCAAUUCCAUUAAUUAGGACAGUUCGAAUUAUAUUUUACUCCAUCCGUCCCAAAAUAAGUGUCUCAAGCUUAGUACAAUUUUGUACUAAAGCUAGUACAAAGUUGAGACACUUAUUUUGAGACGGAGGAAGUAUUUGCCAGGGGCAUCUAUAUAAAGAAAUCGGCCAUCUGCGCCAUCCAAUCAAUUAAGCUACACAAAGUUCAUGAAUCUAUUCUGCCUCCUUCUGUAGUCUCCCUCAUUUUUUGUCGCCUCUCAAUCCCUAGAGUCAAGUCAUGUGUUCAAACAAUAGGAGUCACCGGUGCAAAAUAUUGGGACAACUAUCGCAACCUAUGACGCAAUAUCACAAUACACUGUAUAAACUCUUUGUGAAUAGGAUGAUUAAGUACCGUGUGCCUUGCACGCACGGCUAUCUUAAUUGAAACUAGUGUAUUGGAUCAAAAAUAUGAAUUAUCUUAAUAUCUUUGCAGGUGAUUGAGCACGUUGCUAAUCCUUUGGAGUUCUGCGAAUCUCUAUCAGCUUUGACAGUUCCUAAUGGCGCCACUGUGAUUUCUACAAUCAACCGGUCAAUGAGAGCAUAUGCGGCUGCCAUUGUUGGUGCUGAGUAUAUUCUCAGAUGGGUUAGUCUCAUUUUCCACCUGGCGGUUUUCUUGUUGUUGUUGUUGUUUCAAUUCCUAUGGAAGAUUGAUUCACAUAGUUGGCAGUCUGUUAUGUUGGGAGUAAUAUGCCAUUUCACGGUCGCUAGCUUAGCAAAUCUACUCCUGAUAUUGGAAGAUGUCCUAAUUGUUAAUGCUCUUGACUCAUGAGCAGUCUCAAGCCAAAUGAAAUAUGUCAUUCAAUUCAUCAGCCUAACAUAUGGCUUUGCGUACGCAAUGGUAGGAAGGGCCUGUGUUAUCUUGAUUUCUACUUCCUCCGUCCCACAAUAUAAGAGCUUUUUUCAAGCUAUUGUUAGCUUGAAAAAUGUUCUUAUAUUGUGGGAUGGAGGGAGUGCUAUGCAAGGUCGCACAUGUGACAGAUAAACAAAGGUGUAGAGAUAUACUGAUCUGUAUAGCUAGUUAGCUGUGUUUGUUGGGCUAGAAUUCAAUAAGGGUUCAGAUCCUCCAAGGAAAUAGAGUGCUAUCAUGUUCAUUAGCAAAAUAAUCAACAAGCUGUUUCAACAUAUGCUCAUUCCUACUAAGUUUGAUGCUCCGAUGAAUCUGAAUCAGUGACACUGUACUCUUGAAGUCUUAAUGGUUUUCUUUGUACUUUUACAGCUUCCUAUAGGCACACAUGAGUGGUCGAAACUAGUCACCCCUGAGGAGCUAGUCCUAGCACUGCAAAGAGCCUCAAUCUCCGUAAGCUACUAAUAACUCCCACACGAUGAUCUUGCUGCCACUUUAUAUAACUGACAGCUUGACGCCUUAUCUCCAGGUCGAAGAAAUGGCAGGCUUUGUCUACAAUCCGUUGACCAGAGAGUGGUCCCUGUCUGAUGAUACAAGUAUAAACUACAUCGCUUACGGCAUCAAGAAGAGCGAAACACCCCCAACAAUGCCACAUCAGUAAGAUUAGCCAGUCAUGUUUGGAGAGGAUUGUCUGUGUAUCACGGUAACAAAUUUUGGAAGCAGAAGUCGUGCCACUUAAGAUCUUAGCAGCGGUUGCAAUCAAGCAAGGCAAAGAAGAGGUUGAACUCCUGGAGUAUUUUUGUUUUCUUUGAGAAGUUGAUGGGAGAGACCAGCUAACAAGUAGGGCUAGUUAGUUUCCACACUUUGUAAUAAAUGUAUGCUGCAUACAAGUUCAUCAAGUUUGGGGUAACUCCCUCUUAUUCACAUUACAUAAACAGAAAUAUACUGCCCCUGGGCAAGCAGGAAAUGGUACCAAGUCAAGUGAAGGGUAAUGUUUUUUGGUUAUGUUCAUAUCUGCACUGGUGCGCAUUCUUUAUUUGCAUUCCUUGUGCUCGGUAGGCUGACAAUUUGGUAUGCAUAAUAAUACUUUCAAAAGCUAUUUUUGUGACGUGAAGAAUUAUAUAUUAGGAAAAUUUUACUACACCUUAACCUACAAGCUUAUUCUCCAUUGCAUAUUUCCGCUCAAUUUCGAACAUUGAAACAAGCAAGAUCAGCUUUACGAAAGGCCAACAUAACUCGUCAGGCAUAUGAAAAUACCAACCACAGACUUGAGAAGAACUACCAACAUAGCAUGAGUAUUAAUUCUUCUCGGGUACUGAAAUUAGUCCUAAUCUCAACCAUGAUAACAUACUGGUAGAGAACAAACCUUACACAAUCUGAUGGAUCCAUAGUUCCAUACACACCGGACAUGCAAGACUACUAGUAUUAAGGUUCAAACGCAAGUACACAAUAUCAUCGCUUGUUUAUUAAACGAAGGAUGAACUGCCUACUAACGGUUCGAUCAGCCAGCACGACGCUACUACAAACAUGGCUGAAGGUGGCAGCCAAUAACACCAACGCAUUACAGUCAUAGUAGUAACCAUCUCGUUUGGAAGCGGGACAUGCUCAUGGAUCAUCAUCAUCAUCUCCGACAGCGUUGACGCGCUCGCACUCAUCGAUCCAUUCGCUGUAU
This 61799-nucleotide long non-coding RNA is filed under the name Hordeum vulgare. RNAcentral's name for it is "long non-coding RNA (HVUL_LNC017673)". The record is from RNAcentral. Lineage: Eukaryota; Viridiplantae; Streptophyta; Magnoliopsida; Poales; Poaceae.